This 57099-nucleotide long non-coding RNA is filed under the name Gossypium barbadense (sea-island cotton). RNAcentral's name for it is "long non-coding RNA (GBAR_LNC009964)". Lineage: Eukaryota; Viridiplantae; Streptophyta; Magnoliopsida; Malvales; Malvaceae. The record is from RNAcentral.
AGAAAUUGAGUAGUAAAAAGGUAUGAAUUGAGAAAGAAAAAUAUAUAGGUUUAGUUGGGAUUAAAUUGGAAUUAAAGUAAAAGUUAGAUGAAAAUUUCAGCAUUUAAAUUGUGUUAUGCUAAUAAUUGUGAAAUUAUUUUCAUUGUUCGUAGCUAAUAUCGAGCCUGAAGCAUCGGCCCAAAAAGGAAAAGGAAAAAUCGUCGAGGAUUAAAUCCGAAAAGAAUUCUGGUUUGUAUCACUAUAACUCAAGCUUUAUAAUUAAUAUGUGUUUAAUUUAAUAUGAAUAUGUGGUAAGUAUUUUAAGGUAAGUAUUUAAUGAAAUAAUAAAAUUUGUGAUUGGGUAUUAAAAUUGAGAUUGAUACUGAACUGAAUUAUUAGAUUCUGAAUAUUGUAUUGAAUACCGAAUUGAACUGUGAAAUUACUGAAUAAUGUUACGUAUAUUGCAUUGAACUAUAAAUUUUCUAAUGAAGUAAAUUAUUGUAUUACUGUGAAAAUUGAUCAAAAUAAUAAAUUAUAAUUAAUAUUGAAUCGAAAUGGAAAUUACACUGAAAAAUGAUUUAAAUACCCUAUUAACUAGUCGGGCUAGUCGGAUAUAGUUGGCAUGCCAUAGGAUAUGGAAGGGUACGGGUUUUUGUCGGCUUAAUGAUCAGGCACUUAUGUGCCGACUACUGUUACUGUUAUCAUUACUGUUACCGAUUCGACACUUUGUGUGUCGAAUACUGUUACCGUUACUGUUACUGUUUCGGAUUUGUUCCGAUGAGGUACUCUAUGUACCGUACUGUUACUGUUACUGUUCCGGCUUCGGCCAAUGAGGCACUAUGUGCCGUACUGGUGUGUUGGUUGGAAUCCGUGUAUCUGCCGAGUCCGAGUCAAGUUAAUAGGGAUAAAUAAAAUAAAUCUAUUGAUAAAACUAUAUUUGAAUAAUAUGUCCUAUGUGAAAGUUGAGAAUUGAAAUAAAGAAAUAAGAAUGGUAUAUAUAUAAUUGAAUGAUAACAUGAAAGAUUGAAUUGUUCAUUAAGUGAUGAUAAUUGUAAUGUAAAAGUAUGUGUGUGAUUUAAUAUAUUUAAUUAUAAACUGAAUUAUAGUGAUACCACUGAGUAUAUGCAUACUCAGCGUACGGUUGUUUCCGUGCGCAGGUUGUAGAAGUCAAGUACUGAACCAACAUCCAAAGCCAGACCCGACUUCAGCAAACUUUUUGGUGAUGUAUAUUUUCUUUAGUAAUGUGGCAUGUACAUAGGAUGUGUAUAAAAGUUAUUAUGUUUUGAAUAUAAAUGUUUUAAAAUAUUAGAAUUACAAGUCUAAGAAUUAUAAUGAAAAAAAGUUUAUCCAUUUCAAUUUAAUUAGUACAAUGAUAAAUUUAAAUUGAUAUUAUGUUGAGUAAGUUGAUUAGAGGUAUUUAGAAUAGAAAAUGAAUGUGUGAAAUAAUUGGUUGAAUUAGUUAUGCUUGAAAUGGAUAUGGUUUUAAUUGCAGGGGGAUUUAUGUAAAAAUAAGCAGAAAUGUUGUCGAAAUUCAUAAAAAAAAUGGAAUACUUCAACGAGUCCCGUUUCACUUAAAUGUAAGAUUUAGAUUUGAAUAGUUCAAUAUAGGGAUUUAGUAAUUAAAUUAUGCUAUGAAUGUUAUUUUAUUAGUGAAUUAUUCAUAAGUUGUCUGAUACGUCCGGUAAUGCCUCGUAACUCUGUUCUAGCGACGGUUCAGGGUUAAGGGGUGUUACAGUAUGGGUAUACUCAGUGGUAUUUCUAUAAUCCAAACACUUAGUAAAAUAAAAUAUAACAAUCACUUAAAAUCAUAUAACAAUCAUAACUAUUCAAUUAUUUAAUUCAUAGAUAAAUUUAUUGUAACUUAUUUCAUUCUUUUCACUUACUAACCUAUAUAGCUUUCCACGAUUUAUUCACAAGUAUUAAACAAUUAUAAUAUUCACUUUUAUCCAAUCCAGAGCUACAUAAUUCAUUUAUCUUAAUCAUACUUUAGUUCACUGUUUAAUAUCAAUAAACUAUAUUCAACUACUCACUUUUCAAUCAGUGUUCUGUACAGAUCUAUUUCAAUAACAGUCAUUACCAUUCAUAUCAAAUCAACUUGCUAUCCCAGAUAGCUUUCAUUGUAUAAUACGAUUCGUGUGUUUCAGUUCACAUUUCAAUUCUUCAUUCAGUAUCAAUUUGAUCACUGUUAUAUUUAAUAACCCCUAUUAACAUGACUCGGACUCAGAUGGAUACACGGAUCCAACCAAACAUACCAGAAUGGCACCCGAUGCCUCAUCGAAUAGUUUAAAGCAAUAUAGUGACACUCAGUGUCUCAUCGGCCCAGCCGAAGUAAAGUGGUACACAGUACCUUAUCGAAUCUAUCUGAAGAAAUAUAGUGACACCCAGUGUCUCAUCGACUUGAGGUCGAAGUAUCCCUGAACUCUUCCAAUCCUAUUGCAUGCCAACUAUAUCCGACCUAGCCCGAUACUGUUAAUAGGGUUUCCGAUUCACUUUCCAGUUUCCAAUCAUUAUACACUUUAACAAUCACAUUUAUUCCCAAUUCAAUAUAACUCAAUUCACUUUUCAAUAACAAAUAUUCAAUUUCACAAUAAUCACAUUUUUCUAUCAAUUUCAUCACACUUCCAACUACAUAUAUUUUCCAAUAUAACAAAUAUUUAUUAUUCAAUUUCCACAUCAAUAUUCAUUUCAAUUCAAACAUUCACAUAUAUUCAUAAAUCAAUUCAAUAUAAUCAAUAGUCAAUCCAAUUCAAAUUAUCAUCUCAAAACACCUAAUAUAUAUAUAUCAAAUAAUAAAUCCAACAAUUUAAGUAUUAAGUUCGGAUUAUAGAAAUACAAACCGUAAUUUCCGAGCUAACUCUCGUUGUCUUUGUCUUUUUCCUUGCUUAGUCGAGAUUUCCCGAAACAACAUUAGCUACGGGAAUUAAAAUAAUCAUACCAUUAAAUUUCAGCACUCAUUAUAACAAAUAAUUGAAUUUCUAUUCAAUUUACACCUUAUUUUCAAUUAGGUCCUAACUAAUUCAUUCACUUUACUAACUUAAUUCAUACUCUAUUUCUAUUCAAGUUCCAUCCAAACUCAAAUUUAAUGACUAAAUUUUCAGCUUAUUUCACUAGUUUCGAAAUUUCCUCAAAUUAGCCCUUCAACAUAAAACUUAUGAAUUACUUUCAAAUUCAAUCCUUAUUUCAUUUCUAACUUGAAUUUCUAUCAAUUUAGCCCUUAUUUCAUCAUUUUACUCAACAUGAACAUUAUCUAGAAAUCUAAUAACUUGCAAAAUAUCAACUUAAUUUUAUCAAAAUCUUGUUCCAAAGCUACUAAAACAUCAAAAUUAUGUAAAAAAUGCUAAAUUGACUUACCUAUUAAAGCUUAAAGCUUCAAAACUUAAAUUCCUCCUUUUCUCUCUUUCUCUUUUUCCUUCAUUCUUUCCCUUUUCUGUUUUCAUUCUUCAUUAUGUUUCUUUUUAUUUCUUUUACUUUAUAUAUAUAUAUAUAUAAUAUAACAAUAAUAACUAUAUAAUAUCUAUUUUACAUUUGUAUACAUAUAUAUUAUUACACUUGUCUUCUUUUUUUUUCUAUUUAUUAUAUAAAUAUCUUUUACUUAAUAAUAAUAUAUAUUUUACUAAUAUACUUAUAUAAUAAGUAAAUAUACAUGUAUUUUACAAAUAUAUAUAUUAGUAUCACACAUGUCACCAUAUGCACCAUACAUUUGUCUUACUUUUAUUUAUUUAUCAUAUAAAUAUCUUAUAAUAUAAUUAUUUAAUUAAUAAAUGUCUUUUUUAAAUAAUAAAUAUCUAUUUAAUAUCAAAUACAUGUAUUCCAAAUGUAUGUAUUUUUAUUAACACACUUGUAUCAAAUCAUUACCAUACACAUAUAUUUAUUUAAUUUAUUUCAUAAUAUAAUAUAAAUUCAAUUAAUAAUAAUAACAUUAAUAAAUAUCAAUUAUAAAACCAUAAUAAUAAUUUAUUAUACAUAUUUAUGCAUAAAAAUAAAAGAUUUUUAUGCAUUUGCCGCCUCACUUAGGAAAAAUGGCAUAAUUCCAUUUUGGUCCUUUUUAUUUUCUUUUGAUCUACAAUUAAACUUUCACACUUUAUUCAAUUUAAUUUUUUUUUAUCUAAUUAUCCUUAAUUUAAGCUAAUUCACUUCAUUAAACUCUAAUUAAUCACUCACUUGACUUCAUAAAUAUUUUUAAUAAAUGUUUACGAGUCCAUUUUUCAGAAAUGGAGACCCGAAAAUAUAUUUUUCCGAUAACUGUAAAGUUCGAGUCAUUACAAAUAUUCCUUUGGCACAUGAAAUAUAUAACACAUUGACUCAUAAUACUUCAUAUCCACUAUCAAAUUAUCAUUACAUUUCACCUAUCACUUUUACAUAUUUACAAUUUAAUCAUUAAUUUCAUAAAAUUAAAUAUUCACUAACAUUUCAGUUUAAUCUCACUUAGCAUUGAAACUUAUACCAUAAACACUUCAUUAAAAUUCACCAUUACUACUUUAUUACACAUCAAAUUUUGGUCACUUUUCUAUCUAGUAUUCUUUGCAUAAAUUUUAUUUCACUUACUUUACAAUCUUUUCAAUUUAGUCCCUACUAGCAUAUAUUUUCAUUAAUCACCAUCCCCUCAUUUAGUUUUCACUUCAUCGCUAUUUAUAAUUACACUUGAAUAUGUUAUUUCAAAAUCUUAGUACACUUAGUCACUUUUAUAUAUUUUACAUUUUGGUCUUUUUAAAUAUGGAAUUCGAGUAUCACUAGAAAUUCUCUUAAAUAUCACCUUUUAAUUAUUUCACUAGCAUUUCAUUUAAGCUCUUUAUCAUAAUAUUUUAUUUCACACUUAAAAUUUUUUACAUUUUUCAAUUUAGUCAUUUUUACUAUAAAUUCACUACACUUAAUUUAUUCACUUUGUUGUUGAAGCUAAUUUCAUAUAUUCACUUCUUUCUACAAGAAUUUCAUAAUAAAUAUUAACAUUUUCCUAUACAUAUGUGUAAUUAAAUCUUAAGAACACCAAUCUAACAAUCAGAAUAUAAUUCACAUAAAUUCUAAUUUGGUAAGGUAAGAUUCAUGGUGUACUUACCUCUCUUUUACUAGAAUUUUUAUUAUUUUUGCUUUAAUUAUGUUCCUUCACUUUGUCUCCAACACUUUCAUCAUUUCUUCUCUUUUUCUACUUCAUGAGCACAUCAAAUUAAUAAUCAAAACUCACACUAAAAUCACUUUCUUAUGUCACUACUUCAAUUAAACAUGAAUUUUAUAAGAAAUACUUGAAUUUCUUACCUUGUUCUCUCUAUAUCAAGCAUUAGCUUGAUUUCUCUCUCCUCUAAUUCUAUCUUUCUUGAAUCCAAAUUGGUAUUCAUGUUCACUACAGUCUUCUUCUUUUUUUUGUCAUUUUUCUCUCUUGGUGGCUAUUGAAAUUCUUUUAUUUCUAAGUGAAAAUGGUAAAUUUUGAUGGGAAGAACCAAAUUGAAAAAAAAAAGCAAAAGCUUCUCUUCAUAAAAAAUGGUGGACGACAAAGCUAAGAAAGAUGGAGAAAUUUUCAUCAUCUUUUCUUCUUCUUCUUUUUUGUUUUCUUAACAUUUUCAAUUAGUAAAAGAUCUAAAAUAAAAUGAUAUUAAAAUAAUAUUAACCAAUCAAAAUAUAACACCAAUAUUCAUAAUUAUCAUGAUGUUUCAUGAUAAUUAUUCUAAUUGGGAAAUGACUAUUUUGACCUCUCAACAUUCUUUACUAUUCUUUCUUUGAAUCAUUGGAUGCGCCUCGACAUGUGUGCACCGAGGCUAAGAAUCAAUACAAAAAUAAUUAUAAUCUUGCAGUGUACUGCAAAUAUGUCAGGUUGAAUUGUAAUAUUUGUAGUGUUAUAAUGGAACACUCGGAUAUUCCAAGAAUCAAACCCAAGAGAGUUCGGGGGCUAAAUGAUUCCUAAGCAACAAGAUGCAACCAAUAAGUCUAGCUAACUACUCGCUAGGUCCUAUAUUAUGACGAUUCAUAAUUGAGGUUAAUUACAAUGAUUAAUUACCUAACAUUAAAAAAGACCAAAUUGUAAAAUAGGAAAAUUUAAGAAAUUAACAACUUAAUAAACAAAGCAAUUGGUUGACCUCCAUGUUGUUGAUUAGUCUUUGGAUUAGGGAUCUAAAAAUCUUAAACUUUUAAUUAACUCAAUUUUUCCUCUCAAUCUCUAUUUUACCAAAUUAGACAUUUUAGUCUGGUUUAUCUUUCGAAUUUACCAAACUAAGUCAAGACAAUCAAAUCGAUGCUCUAUCACAUCUCGAAAACUGAGUUAAAAGAAAUUGGAGUAGUGAGACUAAGUGUAACAACCCGAUUUUGGGUCUAGUCAGAAUAGUGGUUUCGGAACCACUAAUUCAAGGCUGGAGAAAUUAUUUUUAAUAUUAUUUUAAGUGUUAUAGCAUGAUUAUAUGAGUGCAUGAAAAUUUUGGUGAAAUGAUUUUAACAAUUGCUUGCUUAAUUUCAAAAAAAAGACUAAAUUGCAUAAAGGGUAAAAGUUUUGUUUUACUAGAAAAUGGUGUUAAAUAACUAGAGAAUCAUAAUUAGGGGUCUUUAAAAAGCAAAUAGACCCAUUUUAUAGAGGUGGCCGGCCAUAGAGACAAAGAAAAUAGAAAAGUCAAAAUUAGGUGAAGUUAGUAACCUAUUUUAACUAGAAAUAAAAUAAAAUAAAACAAAAGGCUUCAUCUUUUUACCAUUCAUCUUCUCCACUGAAAAUAUCAGCAAGAAAACGGGUUUUUGAAGCUUGAAACUUUCAGCCAUUAAGUUCUCUUAUAAGUAAGUGAUUUUGAUGACUUUCUUGAUAAUUUUUGUACUUUUGGGACCCUUGUAACAUAAGCUAACUAAUGGGGGGCUAUUUUGCAAAUGGUUGAAAUUUUAGGAUUUUUCCAUGAAAAAUUUUGUGUUUUUUUCUGAAAUAUUAUGGAAGAAAAUGAGUUAUGGUUGUUAAAUAAACAACUUUUGUGAAGUGAUUUUCAUGAAAACCCCUAAAAUAGACCAUUUUGUAAAAGUUAUAAAAUAAGUAGUAAAGGUGUGAAAUAAUUGGAUUUGUGAGUUGUAAUAAUCUUAAAAUAGAUUUGGCUAGGCUUGGUUAAUGAGGAAAUUUGAUGAAAAAUCGAUUUACGAGCCUUGGGGCAAAAUUGUAAUUUUAUGAAAGUUUAAAGGCAAAACGGUUAUUUUUCCAAAAUAUGAAAUAUGAUAUGUCAUGAUUUAUGUGAUGAUUAAAUUAGUGAAUUUUAUCAUUUUAGAUCAAAAAAUAUGAAAUCCGGACCUAGACCGGGGGAAGACCAAGCUAGUAGGCUAAUUCAAUCUAGUCGCCCACUUUUUGUAUACCGAGGUAAGUUGCACGUAAAUAUUACAAUUCUAUUGUUAUUAUGCAUUAAAUUAUUGAUAUUGCAUGAAAUGUUCGAUUUUGUUACGAAUAUGCAUGAUGAAAUUUGAUGUGGUGAAACUCCCAGUUGAACCGUAGAAAUAGAUCUGAUAUCUAUGCCGUGAUACUAAGGUUAUGUAAACCAGUGUAAGACCAAGUCUGGGACAUGGCAUCAGCCUCAAUAUGUGAGCUAGUGUAAGAUCAUGUUUGGAACAUGGCAUCGGCAUUAUUAUGAGAGCUAGUAUAAGACCAUGUCUGGGACAUGGCAUCUGCCUCAAUAUGUGAGCCAGUGUAAGACCAUGUUUGGAACAUGACAUCGGUUUUGUUACGAGAGCUAGUGUAAGACCAUGUCUAGGACAUGGCAUCAGCAUCUUACUCUUUUGUAUGAGGCUUAUCGGGUAUCUAUUUAUUUUUCCAACUGGUUCAACGGGUAAUUUAAAGAUUAUAUCAUGAUUGAGAAAAAUUAUGAUUACGUUGCAAGUGGUACAGGUACCUACACGAAACUUAUAAGAAUGAGCUCGGGUUAUGUAUGUGAAUAGUAAGGAUGAAAUGAGUAAGUUAAGUCUAUAGUCAUUCGAGAAUCUUGUGCAAGUGUAUGAUAUGUUAUGGGUAUGAUGUUACUUGGUAAAGCAAUGUUAAUUAUUUACUUGUAACUUACUAAUCUUUAUGCUUACUUCCUCUCUUUUCCAUUUUUUUAUAGUGUCGCCAAGCUAGGUCGGGAAUCAAAGGAUAUCGGAGGCAUUGAUCACACUAUCACCUCAAGUUUUUGGUAUAGUUAGUUUAAAUGUUUUUAAGCGUGGCAUGUAUAGGGAUUUGAUCCUUUGUUUAGUGUCAUGUUGGUUUAGCCACAAGUGUUGACUCAUAUGGAUGUGAUAUUCAUUUUGUAUAGGCCAUGGAUGAUUGCUAAUAUUUAUUAUUGCUAAAUACAUUUAAUGAGGAUUAUCAUAGAUGUGGAUGUUUGGUUGUGGCUGUUUUGGUUAUGUAUGUUUAUGCUUGGAUUGGAGAUGUUUGAUGUUGUGUAGGUUGGUGCAAGUAAAGGUGGCAAAAAGGCUUUGUAGAUAGCCUUGUUAUUGUCCAUACGGGCAGACACACGGGCGUGUGCCUAUGCCAUGUGUGACACACGGUCUACUCCAUGGAAGUGUAGUCAGGUCGUGUGUCCCUUGCACCUAAAUUUGGCAAAACAGAAUGCCAGUAGUCACCACACAGGCGGAGAUACGAUUGUGUGUCUCAACCGUGUGAAGGACACGGCCUAGUAUACGGGCGUGUACCAUGGUCAUGUGCCCCUAAAGGGUUGAUGAUGUCAGAAAUAGAAUGUCAAGGUUUUUGUACAUGGGCUGAGACACGAGCGUGUUAUGGCCAUGCGAGGGACACAGGCCAUGGACACAGGCGUGUGCCAAGCCAUGUGAAAACCCUUGUAGGUUCAAAUCGAGAAAUAAAUUGGCAUAGGCUAGGGACACCGGCGUGUCCUGAUAUGUUCAGGUCGUGUGAACCACACGGGCCUUCAACAUGGCUAUGUUAAGAGGACACAUGGGCGUGUCGCCCUGACACACGGGCGUGUGCCCUUGGUUGCAUUGAAAUUUUUUAAAGUUUUUAAAAAGUGUUCGGUUUAUUCCCGAACUAUUUCUAAAGCGUGUUUUGGGCCUUUUAGGUCCAUAUUAGGGACGUUAAGAGGAAGUUUGAAAGUUUUUAAAUUUAAGCAAAAUUUUACGACCCAAAAAUGUUUGUAUGUAUGUGUUUAAGUUUAGUAAAGCCUCGUACCCUGCCCCGGCGUGGGAUAUGGGUAAGGGUUGUUACACCAAGAGUGGUCAUAUCCUGAAUUUUUAGUUUAGAUUGUGAAAAUUUUAUCGAGUUAAUUUGGUUUAAUGGUUAAGUGUAGAGUUUGUGUGAGAGAGGUCUUAUGUUCAAAUCAUGUGUGUGCAAAGUGAAAAUUAUUUUUGUUUUUAACUCUAAGGAAAAGUCUAAUAUGGAUAAUUAAUAAGUGUUAAUGGGUUUUUUUUUAAUAAAAAUGAGGGAUUAACUCCUAAUUUCACUCCACCGUUCACUAAUUUCCAUUUCCCCUUCUUUUUGUCAAGUUUCUUUUUCCUCUUUUUUCCCUUUCUUUUGUUUUUCUUGAAUUUCUUUCAUCUUUUUUCUUUUUGUCAUUAAAUCAUUGUAGAACUACCUUUUUUACUCUUCUUUUGCGAUUAUAAACAAUAAGUGUAAGUAAAGUUUUUUAUUUUUUUAUAUUAAAAUAUUUAACUCGUUCUUGAAAAAGGUAUAAGUUGUUAGUGUCAUUUUUGUUUUUUUUUUGUGGUGUUAAGUGUUUCUAGUGGUCUUUGAUUAGGCGAAGUGUGCGACAUUUAGGAUCUUCUGAUGGAGUAGCUACUGUUUUGGCACUGUUUCGUUGUGAGGUAAGUGCUCGUAAAUUGGUUUUGGGACUAAUUUUUUGAAAAAGGAGGGUUAUCAAGUGAAAUAUUAGGGUUAAUUUGUGUUUUUUAAUCAAGGCAUUUUGGUGUCAUAUGUAUGAUUUGGAGUGAGUUAUUGUGUGGCCUAUAAAAAUAACAUCAGGUGUGUGAAUCUAACCCGAAACAUCGAUUAGAACACGAAAGAACUCAAAAAUAAAAGUUUUUGAAACUGUUCUGUGUCACACGGUCAUGUGGUAGGCCAUGUGGCAGAUCGUUUGAAUCACACGAUCAUAUGGUUGGUCGUGUGGGUCAUAAGCCGUAUGGCAAACCAUGUAGGUCACAUGCCCGUAUGAGUCACAAGGGUGUGUGUUAGGUCGUGUGGGCCACACAGGCUGGGCCAAUUAGGUCGUGUGGGCUACCAGCUGUGUGGGACCAUUUUUUAGAAAAUUUUACCUAGGCCUGUUUGACUCCGAAAUUUGUAAUUAGACCUUUCGUGAGGUCUGUUUGGCUCAAAUAAGAUUCAAAGUGUGACAUCUAUCAAUAUAUGAUAUGGUUAAUGUAAUAGGCCAAAUCCGUCCGGGCCUAACACAAUGGCCCAAUGCCCAAAACAAGCCCAAAUAACCUAAAACUUUCGUCGACUGCCCCCUCCAUGCCCCCGUACACCCCGUACCUACGAGUAAGCCAAAACCACAGUAGCAAAUGCAAACAAAAGGCAACAGCAGAGCAGUAGCAAAGGGGAAAUAAUGAAAAUUUAUAUUUUCUUUCUUUCUUUUCUUAUUUUCCUUCUUUUCGGCUAUAAAGGCCUAAAAAUUUCAUUGUAUUUUAGUUACAAUACAGGCAUAAGAUAGAAAAAAGGAGAGCAAUAGAAUACAAAAAAUCAAGGUGUUUCUUUCUGUUCCGUUUUCUCCAUUUCUUUUGCAAAUCCAGUUUCGAAUAUAACAUAUAUAUAGAUAUUCAAAGAAGACAUAAAGGGACUCUUUUUGAGAUCAGGGGUUUUAGUUUCAUUUGUUUUUUUUUUUUUUUUUGCUUAGAUAGAUAAAAAUUUUAGUAAAAAAGGAGGAGAAAAUUUACCUGUGUUUUGGGGGUUUCGGACUGGUGCCAUGGCGGAGGCAGAGGCGGAGGCGUCGAACGCCGAUGAACGCCGAAAUCGGCUAAGACCGACACGCUAUGGGCAUCGUCUCCCCCUCUCCCUCUUUUCCCUUUCUUUUUCCCUUUUCAAUCUGCAGAAACAUUCUAGGCUUCCCCUUUCCUUUUUUUUUUUUUAUAUCUGUUGAAGCGCUUAGGCUUUUAAGAGAUUUUGUCCUCUUUUAAUUGGCAACACAAAGUGACGCCGUUUAUGGCUUGUAUUUGUAGCCUUGAAAUGGAGAGGGAUAAUUCCAUUCCAAGCCCUCCCCCAUCGCACAAGUCUUUGAUUGCACCUUGUUUAUUUCAUUUGUUUUUUUAAUUUGGUCUUGUAAUUUUUUCUUGUUUCCAACUCGGUCCGUGCCUCAACAAGGAUCUGGAAUAUUUCCAGUUUUACUCCUUAUGCAUUUAUGCACGUUGCACGCUGGUCCCCAUGUUGGUUUCUUUAUUUUUAAAUUAUCUCUCUCAUUUUAAUUCCAUUUUAAUUCAGUCCUCUGUUCGUAUAACUUACCAUUUUAAAAUACAUUUAAUAUUUUUUAUAUGUUUUGAUCCAUUUUGAUAAUUUAGUUUGUUUUUAUUUAUACAAUUAUUUUUUAAGUUUCUUUUAUUUUAUCAUUUUGACGUUUUGUGUAAUAUUUCUUCGAAUAUUCUAUAUAUAUUAGUACAUAUAUUAUUUUGAUUGAGGUUUUAAUUUGUAAAUGCUUGUUGUUCUAAAGUUCUUAAUAUUUUAUAUAUAUGUGAGAUACCUUAAUAACUCUAUUUUAUGUCUUAUAAAAUCACCAUUCUGAAGUUCUUUUUAUAUCAUAUUAUUUAACAUUUUAUAUAGUAUUUUUGUUUAAAUGUUUUUAUGUACAUCGAUACAUAUUAGACUCAUGUUUAAUUCCAUGCUAUUUUUAUACAUAUUUACUUCUAAAUUUAUUUGUACAAAUGUAUAUUUUUUUUAAUCUAUUGUGUACAUAAUUAUGGUUUUUUUAAAAUCUGUUACAUAUGAAAAAUUUAAUUUAGUCUCAUAUACAUUCUUAAUCUCAUGCAAUUUUUACAACUAAUUAUUUCUAAAUCUAUUUAUAAACAUAUAUUUUGUGAAUCUACUAUGUAUACCUCCUAAAAUUAUAUCUUAUUAUGUAUUCCUGCUAUACUUCCGUAUUCUAUAUAUUAUUAAAUUUUUCUUUAUCAAGUGUAUUUUAAUAAAUAUUUUUACAUUUAUAUAUUAUUUGAUUUAAAAGUUUUCAUUCUAUAAUACAUAUGUUAGUGAUUGCAUGUAUAUCUGUAGUUUCUAAUUUGUCAAUCCAUCAAUGUAUAUAUUGUGUUCAUCAUUAUUUUAAAUCUGUCUUAUACCAUAGUCCUUUUUAAAUUAUUAUUAUUAUUAUUUUUGGAUAUUUUAUAUUGAUUGUAAUGUAUUAGGCUAUGUAUAUUAUAGUGGCAUAUUAUUUUCGCUUUUAUCAUUAUAUCGAUUAUUCUCCAUGCAUUAUUGAACAUUGAGUUAUAAUUUUUAGUUUAAUUAUGUAUUUUGAUUAGCCGAUUAAAUAAGAUAUAUUAUCUUCAUUCAUCCAUCAUUGUAUUUUAUGCAUACAUAUUACCCUAUGCUUUUAUUUUUGCCUUUGGUUUACGAAACAUCGUUUUACAAGUUCUAACUCUUUAACAACAAUCAUUCCAUUUUAUUUCAAGUCAAAUUAAUAUGUCUUAAGCCGGUUUUACAAUUAUUCAUUUGAAAAUCCCUUAAAACGAAGGCAACAUUUGAUGCUUGAAAACUCGGGAAUUGUGGUUUCGAUUUCCCGUUUGUUCAAAAUAAUCAAAUAUUCCUUUAGAAUUUCACUCGCAUUUUUCUAAAUCCUAAACGAAGGCGAUAUUCGAUACUUGGUAAUUUGUGGAAUCGUGCCCUAACGUGUUGGGUUGCAAUUUUUCGUUUGCUCAAAGUAAUCGAAGGUCCCUUUAAAAUUUCACUUAUGCCUUUUAAAAUCCCUUAAACGAAGGUGAUGUGCGAUAUUUGACAAUUCGCGGAAUCGUGCCCUAACGUGCUGGGUUGCAAUUUCUUGUCUGCUUAAAAUAAUCAAAUAUCCCUUCAAAAUUUCACUCACAUCUUUUAAAAAUCCUUUAAAACGAAGGUAAUACUCAAGGUUUGACAAUUCGGGAAUCAUGCCCUAUCGUGCUGGGUUAUGAUUUCUCGUUUGUUCAAAGCAAUCGAAUAUUCCUUUAGAUUUUCACUCAUGUUUAUUAAAAACCUUUCAAAACGAAAGCGAUGUUCGAUGUUUGGCAAUUUGAGAAUCGUGCCCUAUCGUGCUGCGUUGCGCUUUUUUAUUUGUUCAAAAUAAUCGAAGAUCCCUUCAGAAUUUCACUCGUAUUUUCUAAAGCGAGGCAAUGUUCAAUGUUUGGAAAUUCGAGGAAUCGUGCCCUACUGUGCUAGGUCUCAGUUUUUUGUGAGACUAAAUAGUUGGGCAUCCUUUUUGUAAUUUUCAAAUGAUAAACUUUCGGACGUCGAAACAAGAAGAUUUUUGGCAACCAACUCGGUUUAUUCAAAUGUUAUUAAAAAAGAACCACAUUUCAAAAACAUUUUUAAUUUUAGACAUAAGGACAGUAUUUAAUCGAUUUGGUACCAAUUUUGGGCGUAAUAAGGGUGCUAAUCCUUCCUCAUAUGUAACCAACUCCCGAGCCCGUUUUCUCAUAUUUUCGUAGACCAGAAUCGUUGUUUUAGUAAACCAAAAUGUUUUAUUAAAAUAACCAAAUUCUUAGGUGACCCGAUCACACCAAAACAAAAAGAUCGGUGGCGACUCCAUAUUUCUGUUUUUCAAAAGUCGAUUCCCCCAUUUUUUUUAAAAACUUAAAAUUUUAAAUAUAAUGGAUGGUUUCGACAGUUAAGGUAGGUAAAAAACUUAUGGGCAAUCUGUGUUCUAAUAACUCUGAAACCAUAAUUAUGUGUAAAAACAUAUAUGACACCUGUAUGUGGAAUAAUUGUUAGUAUAAGCUAUAUGAUAUGUUAUGAUCUAUAAGAUAUGGUUAGGCAUGCAUGUCGUACCAUUCAUGUGAUAUACAUUAUGUUAUUGUGACUAUGCAUGUGCAUUGGAGUGGGUUUUGAUAUGAUGAAGGAAGUGUAUUCUGGUAGUAUUACUGCAAUUCUGGCGGUUAAAUCGCAAUAUCUGUCUGGCAGCUCAGCUGCACCAUUAUGAGUGGCAUACCACCACGACUCGGUGUGAUUGGAUGGAUGGACUCUUAUAAUCCUAUUUGGUGUGAUUAGUUGGGGAGAUGGUGUGUAGCGGAUGGGGGUAUGACUUGCUUUGAUCUGGUAUGACAUUAUAAUUUUAUAUAAGUUUCUGGUAAUGUGACAUUCUAAUAUGAUAUUUUGUUUGUGGGUCGAGUCACACACUAGGCUUUUAGCUCACUCAUUUGUUUAAUACGCUUCAAGUGAUCUUCGGACUUUGGACCAGACGGCAUGCGGUAGCUUGGAUUGUUUUCUCAGCUAAUUAAAUAUGGUGAUUUACAUAGUAAUUUACCUGAACUUUUGGAAUUGUAAUUUGUUUUGUGUUUUUGAUUUGAUUUUUGUUUUAUUCUUCAGUAUUUGAUAUUUUUAAAUGUAAUAAAUAAAAAUAAAAAUUGCACGAGUUAAUAAACUAAUAUUCAGAUUGCAAAACUGAUACUUUGAAAGUUUUCCGCUGCAUAAUUAAGUAAUCACUUAAGUGUUUUUCUGUAAAUAAAUAAAUAGUUUUUAGUAAAAUUUAGCGUUAAUUGUAAAUGAUUUGCCCAAAAUUGAUACUUUCAAACUCUAGGUUUGAAUAAGUGUUUCUGGACUUAAGUUUUUCCUAAACAUUUGUGAGAGUUUUGCCAAAUUUUAUGCUUUCGAAACGCACAACUAAGUUGAUUAAGUCAAAAGUUUUUAAACAAGUUAAUGUAAUUCCUCAAGAUUCAAUCUUAACGUCUAGGCCGAGUUUAGGGUGUUACAUGCUCAAUAGGAUCUUCUUUCGGUCUCACCUAUCUAUGUUUUCCCCUAAAGGUGUCAAUUCUAAGUUCUGAAAAUUAUUCGAUUUAGUCUAGUUUUUACAAUUUAGUCUAUGUACACUAACCAAGCAACAUUACCAUUAAUCAGCCACUAUAGGUUUAGCUACUCAAUAUCAUUUCCAUACAAGCAACAACCCCACAUAUAUUCAAAGCAGACAUUAAAAUAAUUACAAAAAAUAGGGUUAAAGAAAGUUUAGUAUUUUCUUGAUGGUUGCUUGAGGAAAAUGAAGGUGGCAACAAUGGAGGUGAAAAAUAACACUAAUGUUCAAAUUUUUAUCUAAGAAAAGAAAAUGGAGUUGGGCUGUAUUAAUGGCUAUGGAUUAAAUUGAAAAUACAAAUAGAGUUAGAGUACCAAAAUGCAAAUAGAACCAAGCUACAAUAAAACUAACUAACCAACACUAAACCAAAAAAAAAAAGCUUGAAACUAAACCUAGAAAAGGAAGAAUAAGCUAACUAGAAAGCUAAAAAGAUGAAAAGAAAGUAAAGUUAACAACCUUCUUUUGUUCUCAACCAAAAGUAGCUUUAAAAAAUCUGAUUACAGUAAAAAAUUGUUAACUGGAAUGCCUCUAAAAGCAAUGUUUUGAUUGGGUAAUGUGUUGGGCAAAAGACUUGUAACGCCCCAAAAAUUGGGCCUAGAAAGAAUUGGGCCUUAAGUCUGAGAUUCGGAUAGAAGAAAACCUGAAUAAUUAAUAAGUUUUAAAUAUUAUCGUUUAAGAAAAAAAAAUUGAAUUACUACUAGAAAAUUUUAACUGUAUUUAUUAUUACGGAUAUUUUAAAUUUUAUUAGUAUUAUGGGAUAAAAUUAUUACUAUUAGAAAAAAAUAUAUAUAUACCGUAUGUAUGUUUGAAAAAUUUUUAUAAAAAUUUUUAUUUACUGUAUUAUUUGAAAAAUUUAUUAUUAGAUAUAUUUAUAAAAUUAUUAUUAUUGGUAAUUAAAUAAGUAACGAAGGGCUUAUAGUGUGGGGAAAAGUCCAGGGUUCGACCCACAAAAUUCUUAAAUUUGGCCUCUUAAGGAAAUCUGGGUAGUAGGCCUUAUUAAUAAAUUAGGCUGAGCUUUAGCAUGAAGGAACGCCUGGCCUAGUGGCUAAGCAUGCUAGGAAAGGCAUGGGAGGUGCCUGGGUUCAAGGCACGGCGUGCGCAAAUGGUUGUUUUUUAUUACAACCAAGAAUUUCCGCAAGAAGGCCUUAUAAAUAUUUCGAGAGGAAAUGUGACACAAAAGAGGCACGUGGUCAAGUGGCAAAUAUUUCGAGAGGAAAGGUGACACAAAAGAGGCACGUGGUCAAGUGGCAAGGAGGCGUUAAGAGUGUGCAUGUGGUUAGGAGUUCGAGUCUGGUAAGUAGCAUAUUUUGUUUUAUUUUUAAACAAAAUCGAGACUGCAGCAGAUAAGUCUUAAGAUUAGUUGUGAGCGGAUUAUAUCAUGAGAAGGCCACUGCGCGUUACAGGGACUGAGAGGGCACGAGUUCGAAUCCAGGUGCUGGCGUUAUUUUGGUUUGUUUUUAGGCGGACCAAGACUUCAGCAGGUAAGGUUUAAAGUUAAUUGCGACUGUCAUAUAUCCAAGAGCAAGCUACGACGCAGUGGCCAGCAGCGUGCCUAUGCGUGUGGAAGGCCCAGGUUUGAGCUGCUGAGCGCACGGAUGCCCCUUUUUGCUGUAUGCGUGUGGGAGAGUAGUAGAGUUGGACCAAAACUCUUCCCAAGUAGCAGGCUGAAGCGGUCAAACGGUGGAUAAGGCUGCUAGGUGGUUGGAUGAAUUUCAAAUGCCUAAUUCAUGGAGCAAAGCAAGGGAAUUUGAAAUUAGAAAGAAUUUUUAAUAAGCAUUAAGUACCGUAUUUGUUCUUUUAAUUUUGGCUUUUAUGAAUUAUUCCCUUUUUGUUCGUCUUUCCUUCAUCGAUAAUAACCGAACCUAUUUUCUUCUACUCUUCUUUUCUUUCUUUUCUUUUAUCUCAUCUCUUCCUUCUUUAAUUUCCUUCAAAGUCGAAUCUGUACUGUCAUCUCCUUUUUUCUAUUUUUCUAUUUUCUCUUUUUCAUUAUACUAAAAUCCGAAACAUCCAUACUUUAGUGAUUUGGGAAUUAAUUUUUAGAUAUAUUUCCUACUUGCGAUUAAGAUAAAUUCACAGUGGAUCUAAGAUUUGAAAAGUGUUGGAAACGCUUCUGACAAGAACGUCUUUGGUGUUAAGCAUUCAGAUCUUAUUUUUUUCUUUAUUUAGUAAUUCAAGGAUAAGCUGAAAACCCCUAAAUACUUUAGGGAGACUAUCGAUUUUUGCCAAGAUUAAAAUUAAGUAUUUUUCAUUAGGUUUUUUUAUAUGUGCGCAUCGAAGGCUAGCGAUCAAGAUCUAUUUGGAGGCUAGUAAGAUCAACAAGGUUAAUCAUGGGGGAGAUCUCGUUAGCGAAUCGUCAUAAAACAGGUGUGUAAACGACACCCACUCAUAGACUAGAUCGGCAAAAGCCGAAAAGUUGCCAUUUGUGAACUUGCGAGCGUGCGAGCGCUUGUGAGGUGGUUUGGUUGUUAAUUUUGGUAAUCGCAAGCAGUAUGAUUGCAGAGUGCGCAAUUUCGUGCACUUCGGUAUAUUUAGGCUUAAUGGGCCGAAAACGAGUUAGUGGGCCAACGGGCCCAAUUCGGUAAAAACGCUCGGUAAGUGCUUCUGUUAAUGUGUUAAUGGUUAGAAUAUGUAUGUAAACUCUAGAAUAGUAAAUUUUCUUAAACUACCCCUAAGUAUGAAAUUUAUCGUUUUACCCCUAGGUGCAAAAAUGACCGUUAUACCCCUAGGGUUAAUUUUGACUGAAAUGCAUGAUAUUCUGAUUAUGUUUGUUGUAUGCCAUGACUUGUAUAUCUGUUGCAUGGGGUUGGGUUUUGUUAUGGAGGAAGAACCCGUUCUGAUGGCUGUGCCACAUAUUCUGAUAUAAGCAGCUUUGCUGCGGAUUAUAGUUAGUGUCGUAACCGGUGCUAACACUGUAAGUGUAAGGAUGGCGUGGGUGAUUUAUUCCCCACAGGAAGUGUAGGGAUGGACGGAGGCAAGUGUAGGGUUGGAUAGGGUUAUCAUGCAUUAAUCAUAUGAGACUGUAUUGAAAUGGGCCCAACUGUGUUGAUAUGGGCAAGGCCCAAUAUAUCUCGACUUGUAUAGGGCUACAGCCUAGAUUGAUACUAAUAUGGGAUAGGCCCAGUAUACUUUGUUACUGUAAGAGGCUAUGGCCCAGAUUAAUAUUGAUAUGGGCUAAGGCCCAGUUAACACUAAAUUCUUAAUAGGGCUUAAGCCCAGUAAAGCUUGAACUGAUUUGGGCUCUGGUUGGGAUACUUUACACACUGAGUUUCCAAACUCACCCCCUUCCUUAACCUUGUAGGUGAGCCUUGAAGUGGGGGCUUGGAGCCGGAGGGGAUUCAGAGUGGCCACGGUGAUCGCUUUUGGGCUUUUGAAAUAAGUGAUUGGUUUUCUUAAGUUUACCUUAUUUAUUAUUUAUUUUUGGGUUGUAAUAAGGCCAUUUUAACUUUAUUUUCUUCUCUUUUCUGGGAUUAUUUUAUUUUAGUAACUUUAAACUGGUUAAUAAUAAUUCAAAUGGGCUAGACUUAAGGCGCGUUUUAAAACGAUACUCAUUUUCAAAUAACACAACAUCACGAUUAAUUGGUUUAUCAAAGAUAUCCACUCAAAUAAAUUUCAACUCGUUAUAACCAAGUAUGGCAAUGGUUGUGGGCAUGUCUAGGAUUGGAUCUAAUCGAAGAGCUUGGUACUUAAGCAGCCUUCAUGGCUCACCUCCUCUAUUAUGGAUACCUACCUGGUGCCCAGCUUCCAUUCACUUUGUUAGCUUAACAAAAGUCAGUUUUUAAAACACUAAAAACGAAACAUGGAUUUUAAAUUUCAAUAUGGCACGUCGAAUUCGGCCAUAACGUCUGGGCCGAGUUUGGGGUGUUACAAGAAUACACCUGCAGGUAACUUUUCCCCAUAGACAGCAGCAUUGCGACACCCAGGCUUCGAUGUCAUGAUACCCAAAACAGUGGCAAAUUUAAGGGUCUUGAGGUCUUAGUGUCGCGACAUCACUAGAAUUGGCCUCAAUUUUUUUCACUUCAACACCUUUAGGGUAUCACGACUUUGGAGGUUCAAUAUCGCAACGUUGGCUCGGUAUUGUGACAUCCAUCUCUCGAUAUCGAAACCCUCAAUGUUGACUUUUCAUUAAAAUUUUGCAUCUUCAAGCUGAAAUGUCUAGGUGAUGCAACUUCCAUGACAUUAGUGUCGCGACACUCACUUUGAAUAAUGUUUUUCUUAAGGUUGCUACACACGCUCAAUCACAUCAUUAGGUCUCUUAUUGGCCAAUUAAGGUCUCAAAAGGGGCAAAACUUGGCGAAAACAUUUAUUAAUGCUUGAAACAAAAAAUCAAUAAAAAUAUAUAAAAGACACUUAAGUUGCUUGAAAAUAAACUCCUCGAGUGUAAUGGAAAGCCUAAUUGGAUGUAUCAAAUUACGAUAGAUCAAUCAUCACUUAAUUUAGUAAAAUUGCAAUUUAGUCUCUCAUAUUUCUCCACUUAUUCAAUUUAUUCCCUACUUACCAAUUUAUUUUGCACUUUGGUCUUUUCCACUUUUAAAAUGUUUGCAUUUUUAAUCCUUUAAUUUUUUUAAUUUUGCAUUUUAACCCAUCAACUUUUACUUAAUUUCACUUUGGCCUCAUGACUUUUCACUUCUUUAUGAUUUAGUCAAUACCUCAGAUUUGUUUCUCUCAAUACAUGAGUUUUUUCUUUUCAAUUUCUUCCAGCAUUCAACUAUCUUCUUUACUAACACAAAUAAUUUUUAUUUUAUUUCCUUCAAAAAUUCUUACACAUGUCAUAUCGUAUUAGCACUAUUCUCAACUUAGGGGGUAUUAGGGGUGUUACAUUCACAACCAAAUCUUUCACGACCACCUUUAUCACAUCGAUUCAAGCACCUAUAUCGGUUGCAUACCUAUUCAUAUCGUACACCAUUAUAUUGAAAAUUUGAAAUUGAGUUGAAAAAGGUAUAUCUUUCUUUCACUUUGUAAUCUUUGAUGAUUAGAACUAUGCUUAGUAAUUUUGAACUACAAUUGUGGGAGACAGGAGGUUGCUAGAGGAAAUGUGUAAAGCAAGUCAAUUGUGGUUUUAAAUAAGAAAGGAAACUAGAAUCUGUAUAGAGGAAUGAAUUGAGGAAUGUAUACGGUGCAAGCUGCACAAGAAGAAUCCAUAUAGAAGUUUACUUCUUUUGUUUGAUAUUGAUUCGAAUAAGGUGUUUCAACCUUGGUGCAUUACUUAUAUUAGAUGUUGAUUAAAAUAAAAUUUUUUAAACCUAUAAAUAGACACAGUCUAUACUCAUUGUAAUUAUUCGAAUUCGACAUAGUGAAUUUUCUUCUUCUCUGCCCGUGGUUUUUUCCCCGAAAGGGUUUUCAUGUAAGAUCUGUGUGUUUUAUUUUUAUCUCUUUUCUUUCCAUUAUAGACAUUCUAUUUUUUUCACUAACGAUCACUUAGGGGCAUUUUUUUUAUAUUUGGCCUUUCAGUCUUCAUUAAGUCAAAUUUUAAGUAGGGAUAUUUUGGACAUUCACCUACUUAGUAUAAAUACUCUAUUCAUCAAAAUCAACAGGAGAGAGGAUUUUGUAAAAAGUUAGAAAGGAUUGUUCACAUUUUCUCUUUAAAUUUUUUGUAGGAGUGUUCUAGCAUUAAGUUUAGCUUUUGAUAUUCUUGAAUACUAUGAUCUACUCUUUCUUGUGCUGAUGGUGUAAGGUUAGGAAUUAUGCAAAUUUUGGCUCUAAGCUACUUUUGCUAAGCCCUUUCUAGAUUCAAACUGUAUUUUUCAUAUUCAAUUCAUGUUUAGAACGAAGAUUUGUGAUUGUUUUUUAUGUGGUUUUAUGAUGUUAGUUUUAAAUAAUGUACUUGUGUUUGACUUGAUUGUAUCAAUUGCCUGGUUGUGUUAAUGCGUUUAAUAUACUAGAAUUGACAACUUUAGUGGAAAAUCUAGAUAGAGGAGACCAAUAGGAGACUUUAUCGAGUAAUCGUUAGUACAAUUGUAUUAAGUAAUGAGAUUGAGAGGUGAACUAUGUACUUAAGUGAGACCGAGAGGAGAUCUUAGGUAGUAAGAUUUAACUUAGAAUGAGACUGAGAGGAGAUUUCUAGUUAAAAGUAAUAGUUGAUAGAAUCAAGACAUGUGAGUAGUUCAUGAGGAAUUAACAGAUUAAAACCAUCAUCUUAAUUCACUUGCAUAAUCUAAUCAAGAAAGAGGUUAUAGAAAGAUAGAUUGUUUUCAUUUUAGACAGAGAUUAAUUUGAUGCAUUUCUUAAUUACUUUGCAUUAAUGACCUUUGGGUUGAGUAGGCUAGUAAUGUGCUAAUCAAUUAGUAACUUUUUACUUACCACACCCUAAGGAAAAUGACUUUUGGAGUACUCCCGUGAGUAAUUUAUUUUAUAACUAUAUUACAAUUUGACACCGUCAUAUUUGUAGUAAAGUUAUGCUUGAAUUGUGAAUAAUAUUGAUUACAUUUGUUGCUUUUUAUGUGAGUGUGUAUGGCUCAGUCAAUUAUCAAGGAAUAAAAAAUUUCAACAAUUUAUUUAAUUUAUUUUGAUGAUUUGAAAUUUAAAAUUUUAAUAUUAAAAAAAUAGAAUUUUUAAUAAUGGGAUAAGCAAGUAUAAAUUUGACAAUUUUUGUGUAUUAUUUUAUUUUAUACCGUUCUUUCAUUUUAAUCAUUGAUGUUUUUCUAUCUCAAUCAAUACCUAAAAAAAAUAUUUUUUUAGGUGACUAAAAUGAAAGUGACUUUAAAAAGUAGGUAACCAAAAUGAAAGUGCAAACAUAGUGUAGUGUGUAUAAUUAAUUUUAACAAUUAAACCUAAAAAAACAUAAUUCAAGUAAGUGAUAAUAAAUAUUGAAAUUGAGGUUUAACUCUAAAAUUUAUAAAUAAUUCUAUGGUUUUUUUACAGGAAAGACAGAUCAUCAUGAAUAAAUCUAUAUAUACAAGAAAGAAAUAAUAAUUAUGUGAAAUGAUUAUGUUAAACUAAUAAAAAGAGGAGAAAAAAAAAGUGUACAGACUGGAGCAUCUUUGUGAAAUUAAGACAAAGCAUAUGGUAAAGUAAUCAACAUAAAAGUGUUCCCAUCCCAUCAAAUUGACCAAAACAAUGUCAUUAUCAGUGGGUUCGGGAGACUGGAUAAAUUAUGAUAUCACCGGCAGUGGCAGCAGGUUAAACCGGGAAGUUUCCUGGAACUUUGUUUCCCCACAUACAAAUGAAAAAAUAUUUUCAAUAGAAAUUAAUUAUUUUUUUAUAAAGACAAAUGAAAGACCCUGACCAUAUGACUAACUGGUAACUACCUAGUUAGCAGUCAGUCCUAUCCGUUUAACUAUUCUAAUGCAUUAAUCUUGUUUUCGGAAGGUGAAAAAGAAAAAAAAUUUCAAUACCAAAUUUGAUUGCUGAAAUCUCUAAAGUUACUAUUUGUUUUUUUUUGGUUAAUAUCACUAUGAAGAAUACUUUUGAAAUUGAAAUAUUCAUUAACAAAUAUUUUUAUAAAAAUAAAAUAACUUUAAAAAAAUGAGUUUGUUGAAUACAGAAUCUUUCUUAAAAGUUGAUUUAUCAAUAUUUUAAAUAAUUAAUUUACAUCUUAAUUUAUGCAUAGAUAUUACAAAAAUUCUUACUAACAAAUCUCGGUUAAUUAGCUAAAAACGUCAAUUUUAAAAAUUAAUUAGAGAUUUAAGUCAUUUUUUUAAAAUUUAAGGAAAUAAGUUAAUUUUAAAGAGAGAAAAAAAAUGCAUUUUCAUCAAACAGUAACUUUUUGCCACAGUCAAAAAAUCCAACGGCUAAUUUCCAAUAUUUUUUUCGAAUGGCUAAAAUUCUUUUCCUAAGGGCUAGUUUAUUUGCUAUAUAUACCCAACUCAUUUUCUAUCUUUUUUAUCCAAAUCUUAUUCUCUCACUUCUCUCAAUGUUAUUCAUCUAUUCACUCAACUAUUUUAUUCUCAAAUUUUCAUUUAAUUUCUCUCAAAUUCUUCUUAUGUUAAUUUUAUAUUUUGUAAUUUUAUUAUUACUUUAUAAUUUUAAAAAUGUCCAUGUCUCUUUUUUGUUUGAAUGAUAAAUACAUUUUCAGCGUCCAAUUACAAAUGGUAAGAAAAUAUUAUUAUUAUUAUUUUAAUUAAUAUAAUUAUUAAGUUGUUAACAUUAUUAAUUUUAUAAUUUUUUAUAAUUAUAUAAUCUGACCAAAGAUUGGAUUAUCGAUAUGUAUAUACAUAAUUUAAGUGCAAGGGCACCGCAUGUUAUUGAACAACAUUUGCAAGAGGCAAGAUUCUUGCAUGUGUCUCGUAUGCUCAGGGGACUAAAUUGAACCCUUCACUUAUCAGCGCUUUGGUGGAAAGAUGGAGACCCGAGAUAGACACAUUUCAUCUUCCGUGCGGUGAGUGUACAAUUACACUCGAAAAUGUAGCAUUACAACUUGGCUUACUGGUUGAUGGGGCAAUCGUUAUGGGGGUAGUGGGCGUUGAUGAUUGGAGCGCACUUUUCAACCAACUAUUUUGCAAGGUGUUAGACAAAUUUAACGGUAUUCGAAUAGAGAUAAAAUGGUUAGAAUACAAUUUCUCAUAUAUCAAUAGCUCCACUAGUGUCGUCGAAAGACAAUAAUACGCGCGAUCAUUCAUACUAAGGUUAAUUAGGGGUCUUUUAAGGUUAAUUAGGGGUCUUUUAAUGUCAAAUAAAUCUUGAAAUUUGAUACAUUUAAUGUGGCUGCUACAACUAGUCAACUUAAAAGAAGCGGGGUGAUUCAGUAGGGGAUCAGCUGUGUUGGUGACAUUAUACUGAGAGAUGUGUCAGGCAACAGAAGCACAAGAAAUUAAAAUCGAUGGUUGCAUACUCCUUCAAUUAUGAGCAUGGUACCAACUACCAUUUUUACUUCCCUGAGUAAACGUCCUUUAUGAAUUCCUACUCUUAAUAAUAUAUUAUUUAAAUAGGAAGAACAAUGAUAUGAGCAUGUGGGUAUAUCAGAUAAGCUCAAAGAUAUCCAACUAUUAUUAGAUUAACAAUCAGAAGCCAAAGUUAGCAUUUGAAUUUUUUAAUUAUAUAAUAUUUAUGUAAGGAUUUUAAAUUUAAUAUCAGGUACGUAAUAAAAUUUAUAAUUUCAUAAUGUAAUUUGAAUGGAAGUCAUACUUUGAUUUGAGAAUUCAAGAAUGCACUACGGUCGAUUUUUUGACAAAUCACAAUAUCUGGCAUGUGAAAGUACCAUUGAUAGUUUUUUUGCAAUGUUUGAGAUGCACAAAUCUAAUUGAAUGAUGCACUAGUUCAGGUUUAUGCAAAGUAUUUCUUCAUCACUUAGGAGCCCGAUGAACUUCAUAAGAUUGACUUAUGGGAGAGAAUCAAUGAAGAUUGGCUUAAAUUUCAUGCCAAAUAUAUCUACAUUUGGGAACAUAGUUAUGAUUUGAUAUCUACGAGCAAACCAAUUGUUUGAACGAAUUUGGCAACCUCUUCGAAUUACAUGACAUGGUUUAGACUUCAUGGUAAGCCGUAUCUAUUGUCGGAAGAGGAGAGGAGUAGGCAAUGUCAUCGUAGAAAGCUAAGACGACCCUACAUAAGGCCGUGAUCGAGAGUACAUGCGUUGAGUUCAUCAUCAUCACCUCGUACCCCACAUGAGGCACAGAUGAGUGCACCACCUCUCGGUCAGUAUGGUUCAUACUUUUUUGGUCUUUUCACUAAACUUAUUUUUUUUACACAAGCAUCACAUUAUGCAUCAUCAUAUCAUGCAUCAACACUUUCUCCAAAUAUAUUUUUUUGCAUCACUUCCAUCCUUAGGACCAUAUUAUACGCCAUUGCCGACAACAACACCAAUAUAUUCCCCAUCGCCUACAAUUCCAACAUUCUAUCCCCAACCAGAUUAUUUGACACUAGAUACUUCUCCGUCGAUAGUGUCGCAAACACUAAUGACAUCAUUAUUUUUCAGAGGUGGGUCAUCUUCACAACCACCUAUUACAACUACAGAUGAUAUACAAUGGGAACCUAGGACACAAAUGCAAUCUAGCAUUAAGGAACGAGAUGAAGGUGGAGGUGAAGAUGAAGAUGAAAAUGAAGAAGAUGAGAAGCUGAAACCCCAAUUAUGAUGAAAUGUUCCUCGAAACCGACACCCAUCAAGUUGUGCCACACAUUCGGGCCAACAACGUCGAUGAAUUUUUUAUUUUAAAAUUUUCUCAUGUAAAUCAUCAUUUAGUUUGUUAACUUUUAAUUUGUAUUAUAUUCAAAUUUUCCAUUCAUAAUGUACUUAUUCCAAUUUAUCAAAAAUAUUCUCUAUCGUAUUUUACAUCAAGAAUAUACUUAUUUACAAUCUGUGAAAAAAUUUUAAAAAAAUAUUUGUAUUGUAUUCUAUUGUAUUUUAUAUCAAUAAUAUAUACUUAUUUACAAUCUAUGAACGAAAAUUAAAAACAUUUUUGUAUUGUAUUCUAUCGUAUACCUUCUCAAUAAAAUAUUUAUUUACAAUCUACGAAAAAAUGAAAAAAUUGUUUAUAUAGUAUUCUACUGUAUUUUAUAUUAAGAACAUAUACUUAUUUACAAUUUACCAAAAAUUGAAUAAAUUGUUUUUUUUUAUAUGCUUAUAAAAAAUGAAUAAAAGUUUUAAUUAAGUCUUCCCCUCAAUGUUGCCUCUAAGUGUAGGCAUAUUGGCUUAUUAUGUCUUAGGUUUCUACAAUAAUUGCAUAACCUCGAUUAGUCUAUUUUCUGUCAAAUAUUCAUAUUGUCCCAUAUCCGAAUAGAACUCAGUCGACCUUUUGGCUUGCGAUACAACGUAAUAUCCGGUACUAACUUGAAUGAAGCGCUCGAGAUAGGCAACCACAUAUUUCUAUUUGGGGCAGUGGGAAUUCAAAUUUCCAUUAUUUAUAUAUACGUUUUAGUUUGUAAACUUCGUCAAUAUAGCUCAUGCAAUCCAGACGUUUCGAAGCAUAUGUAACAAUUGCACGUACGUAUAGAAAACGAAGUGCUUGAAAUCUCCCACAAUUGUAGGUCAUUCGUCUCAGGUAUACACAAUAUGAUCCCCUGAUAAUACCUUCAUUGGGCAUAUCAAACUUCGUAACCUGAAAUAUUUGAUUUGGACGCGAGUGACACACUGCAGACAUAGAAUUUGCUCUUUUUGCAUUUUCUCUAAUAUCUUUCAUCACCUCCUCAUACUAAAUGUAACUGUCAUUUAUCUUUCCAACAUAUUUUUCCGCUUACUUUGGAAAUAAGGUUGCUAAGAGGAAGUAUGUUUCUUUAACCACCGACAUUAUUGGCAAAUGACGCGUCAUUUUCAAUACGGAAUUUAUGCAUUCCGCUAGAUUCAUUGUCAUGCGCCCGCAUCGUAGACCUCCAUCAUAUGAUUAAAUUCACUGCUUCUUAGGUAUCCCAUUAAGGUAUUCCGCAUCGGCUUUUUUAUAACCUGCAAGUUCUCCAAUAUUUCAUGGAAUAGAUGUUGAACGAGCUCGAACCCUGUUAAAGAAAAUAAAGCUAAUAUCCAUGAAUGCAAACAAUAUAUAUGUUAAAGAAUAAUAUAGAAAAUAAUAUUAACUACAUACUCAUGUUAAUAACAUGUUGCCACUCAGCAUCCUUAUGAUAUCAGCCUAUGUAAUUUGACCCUAUAUAUCAUAUACAAUACUUAUGGUGUGUACGAUUCUAGAAACUUCCACAUCAAUCAAUUGAAGCCUAUAUUCCGGGUCCCCUAUCAUAAAUGAUGUAUACAUCGGGUUAUUGCACAACAUGCUAUCUCAAGUUAGUUAAGAAAAAAAUCCCAAGCAUCAACGGUUUCUCCUUCAACAAUUGCACAAUUUAUUGCAAGGAUUUUUAGAUUACCAUUCUGUGCAACAACCAACAAGAAGCCAUUCUCAUAUCUCCCGUACAUGAUUGUGCCAACAAUUUAGACUGAUGACUUACAAUACCAGAAUGCUUUGAUGCAUGGCUUAAAUGUCCAAAAAGGAUGAUGGGAAACUCUUUUCCCUUGGACCAUUCGAACGCCAUAAUACAUAGGUUGCGUUUGCAGUUCAAUAACGGUACUUGGGACAAAUUGAUUCAGUACCUGAUACUAUUGCCACAAAUCAUUAUAUGAUUUAUCCCACCCGUUAUAUUUUUUUUUCAUAGCCUUCUGUUUUGCAACUCGUGCAUCGUAGUACAACAUGGUGUAAUCGUACUGGCUACGGAUAUUGGAAAUCAAAAUCGGCACCAGAAUCUUAGGAUUCAUUUUCACCAUAGAUAAGAUAAUGUAAGAAAUCAUGUCAGAAUUCAAUUUUGGAUGAUUUUGUGACAUACUUGCAAUAACACAAGUAUUUAAAAAUAAGUAAGAUAAUGUCAGAGAUCAAGUCAGAAUUCAAUUUCAAAUGAUCCUAUGACAUACUUGCAACAACAUAAGUAUGUGGAGUGUUCUAUUUCUUAAUUGUCCAAAAUCCGUCUUCUUUCUCACAAAUGCCAUACUUUUCUAUGGACAUCUACUUAUGCACAUUGUGCACUUGGCCUUGUAUUUUUCUAAUCAAGAUUUUGUAACAUUGAAGUUGGCCCCAUACUUUAUGCUAUAUCACUUCACUACAACAACAAAAACAUCUUUGGAAGAAAACUCCAUUCCAACUUGUAAAUCAGUGACAUUUAAUGAAGAACUUGUAUGACCCAGUCUUCUAUAAGGAAGUUUUGGACAUUCUAACCCACUUUCAGCAUCAAGGUCAACAUUAAGCAUGUGGGGUAGAGAUGCCUAUGUCGUGAAAUUUAGAUAGAUUCCUACAGUAUUGUCCAGACCUUCACCAUCAGAACAACUCUUUUCUGGUUUAGUAGGAGUGACCUCUGGUUCAGAAAAUAAUACAAUUUCUAAACCUUUCAGCCCAGACUCCCGGAUUGGAUCAUUAUUAGUUUCAGAUACCUCUUCGUUAUCAACCCUAGUUGCAUGUCCAGGGUUGGAUAUCCCUUUGCCAGUGCAGGUUGUAGGGAGUCCACAGGUUUUGGACAAUAAUGUUAAGGAUAUUACUUUGAUGGAGAAAAAUAUAAGUUGAUUAUACUGGUAAGCCCCUUCUUUUUUUUUCCUAUGAUUAUGAUCUCGCACUUAUGUAUGGGUUUAUAAAGCAUCAUCUUCUGGUGGCAUGAAACUUGAACCCAUGACCGCAUAAUCCUCGUCAACUGAGGCCUCAAGUUAUACUUGAACUCGUGACCGUAUAACCAUCUUCAACUAAAAGCCCUAGUUAUACUUCAACCCGUGACCGUAUAACUAUCGUAAACUGGGAGCUCGAGUUGCAAUGUGACGUCUUUUAAAGUGAUAAUGCACUCCCUACAUGACAAGCGAAAUGUGUGAAUCUCCGAGCGCCACCACAUCACCGUGAACUCAAACAUAUCUUAAAACUAUUACAAUUUCUCCCUAAAACACAAACACAGAUAAAUCUUUCUCCCCAAAUUUAAUACAAAAAAAUACAAUUUUUGGAAGGACAAAAAUUCAUUCUUUAGGACAUUUUUAGCCCCUUAAUUGCCACCUCAACUAAAAAUGCUUCUUGCAAGAGACGUUUUCUCUUUCUUUCUUUAAAAUAUGUCGAUUUUUCUAAAUUUGAAAAAAAAAACGACUUAAAUCCCCAAUUAACUUUUAAAACCAAAGUUUUCAGCUAAUUAACCCAACAAAUCUUCAUAUAAAAAAUAAUAUAUAUAAUUUUUAGAAGACAUCCUCAAAAUUCAAACGAAGUUUGUCUUCGGAGUGUCCGAUUUAGACAAACCAAGCAAUCUCUUUUUGUUGAAUUAAUUUCUUUUUCUUUUUCUUUUCAAAAGAAAAAAAAUUAUUUUCAUUACUAUUUAUAAAUGAAGAACACGGUUGUCUUGUGCACCGUAAGGUUGUCGUAAUCGAAUACGGCCGAAUCGUCAACCCAGUAAACUACAGGGCCCGUUAAAAGUCGAGGGCAUUAUAGUAAAAUAAACGAACUUCUGUUAUUUACAAAUGCAGGAAUUUUAAAAGGAAAAUUUGAAAAAGCAGAGCCAUAGAAGCUCAAAAGACUGACCAAGAACAACUCAACUUUUCUUUUUAAUAUGGGAAGAGUUAUUAUCUCUUUUAAAAAUUAAAGAAAAUAGAGAACAAAAAAAAAAUUGUUCUUUCAACUUUGUUUUGUUUUCAAGCCAUUCUUUUGGUUUUUCUUGGUCUAAUUGUUAUUCAAAGGUUAUAUAUUUCUUUCUUUUUACCUCUUUUAUUAUGAUUAUUUGUUAUUAUUAUAUACGCUGAAGUUUUCGUAUAAGAAGUACUCCGUGUCAUGCUCAUUUGAUGUCUGUUUCUGUUUUAUAGGUAAGUUUUAUUAUUAUUAUUAUUAAUUUGCACUUUUUUGUUAAUAUUUAUUUUUGGUUUUUUGUGAUAUGGUUAACUACAUUACGGUUUUUAAUCUAUUGUUGACAGUUAAGUGCCACUAUAAACUGUUUUUUUUUUUUUCACUUUCUGGGUUAUUUGGUCUUUGUCAAAUUUGCUGUCUUGUAAUUCCUCUGUUCAAUAGGGAUCAAUUAUUGCCAUGGUGGCUAGGUAGGUGGUUGGUCUUUUGAUACUUAAAAGAGUAGGUAGAGAAAGAACUUUGCCUUUUUGUUGUUGGGUAAUUGAUACCUCUCUUUAUACUGUAAUUGGACAAAAUUUCAUGCUCCUUGAACAAAGUUAAUGCUGGGUUUCUGUUCUGUUUUAGCACUAACGUUUCAACCUUCGUUUAUAUCUUUGUCUAAUUGCUAUUAGUGCGAAGUUGUUUUUUUUUUUUAGUCUCUUUCUUCUUACCUAGUUGUAGUUCAAGCUUCAUUCUUUUUCCUGUUUUGAAAGAAAACUAUAAGGGUUUGAGGCAAAAUUGAAGGAAUUUGUACUUUGGGGAGAUAACCAAGGCUGACGAUUCAAUGGAGGAGAGAGCAUUUCCUGCGUGGUCAUGGUCUGUUGAGCAUUGUUUGAAAGAGUACGAUGUGAGACUAGACAAGGGUUUAAGCAGUUACAAGGUGGAAAAGCGGCGCGAGAAGUAUGGUUGGAAUGAGCUUGCCAAAGAGAAAGGGAAGCCCUUAUGGCGGCUUGUAUUAGAACAAUUUGAUGACAUGCUUGUAAAGAUACUCCUUGUUGCAGCUUUUAUAUCUUUUCUUUUAGCAUAUAUGCAUGGAAGUGAAUCUGAGGAGUCCGGUUUUGAGGCCUACGUUGAGCCUUUUGUGAUUGUAUUGAUUUUAGUCCUUAAUGCCAUUGUUGGAGUAUGGCAAGAGACUAAUGCUGAGAAGGCACUUGAGGCCCUUAAGGAGAUGCAAUGUGAAUCUGGGAAGGUAUUAAGAGAUGGGUUCCUUGUACCAGACUUGCCAGCUCGGGAGCUUGUCCCCGGGGACAUAGUGGAAUUGCAGGUUGGUGAUAAAGUUCCUGCUGAUAUGAGAAUAGCAGCUCUGAAAACAUCAACCUUGAGAUUAGAGCAAAGUGCACUAACUGGAGAGGCAAUGCCUGUUCUGAAAGGUACUAGUCCUAUAUUUCAGAAGGAAUGUGAGUUGCAGGCAAAAGAAAAUAUGGUUUUUGCAGGCACGACUGUGGUGAAUGGUUGCUGUGUCUGUAUCGUUGUUUGCACUGGAAUGAACACUGAGAUUGGGAAAAUACAGAAGCAAAUACACGAGGCCUCUUUAGAAGACAGUGACACACCUUUGAAGAAGAAGUUGGAUGAAUUCGGGAGCAGGCUUACAACUGCAAUUGGGAUUGUUUGUCUCAUUGUGUGGCUUAUCAAUUACAAAAACUUCCUCUCAUACGAUAUGGUGGAAGGAUGGCCUGCAAAUGUUCGUUUUUCUUUUGAGAAAUGCACUUAUUAUUUCAAGAUAGCUGUUGCCCUUGCAGUGGCUGCAAUUCCAGAAGGCCUUCCUGCUGUAAUCACAACUUCUUUAGCUCUUGGUACUAGAAAAAUGGCUCAAAAGAAUGCAAUUGUACGGAAGCUUCCUAUUGUUGAAACCUUAGGAUGCACUACUGUGAUUUGCUCGGAUAAAACUGGGACUUUGACCACGAAUCAAAUGUCUGUUGCAGAGUUCUUUACCCUUGGUGGGAAAACCACCACUUCUCGUAUUUUCAUGUCAAAGGCACAACCUAUGAUCCUAAGGAUGGUGGAAUUGUUGAUUGGACCUGCUACAAUAUGGAUGCUAACUUACAAGUUAUGGCAGAAAUAUGUGCGGUUUGUAAUGAUGCUGGGAUUUUCUGUGAUGGUCGUCUCUUCCGAGCUACAGGUUUACCAACAGAAGCAGCUUUGAAGGUUUUGGCUGAGAAGAUGGGAGUCCCAGAUGCCAAGAUGAGAAACAAAAUCCGGGACUCAGAGCUUGUUGCAAACUAUUUGAUUGACCGAAGCACAGUUAAACUCGGUGAGCUGAAAGCUUUCUAGUUCUUUGUAUGUUACUUCUCAGGCAUUCUAUUGCACUUUGAUUUAUGAUAUAUAGUGGAAUAUAGGUUGCUGUGAGUGGUGGAUCAAAAGAUCAAAAAGGGUUGCAACACUGGAGUUUGAUCGUGUACGAAAGUCUAGUAGCAUUAUUGUCAGAGAGGCUGCUGGGCAAAGCCGACUACUUGCCAAGGUGACUGUUGUAUUUUUCUCAUUCAGUGUUGGCAGAACUCACAAACCAGCAACUGCUUGUUUUCUGGUGUUUGUUGAUGAGUUGCUGCUUCAGCUAAAACUUAAAAGAACUGACUUUUCUGCUGUUUGUUUUCUGCUCUGGACAGUUCUUAAAGUCAAUAUAGUUUUGAAUCACAUAACUCUCCCAAACAAUUAAUUAAAAAAAGGGAAUUAUAAACCAUGAGGUGUGGUGUGGUGGUUGCUCACGUCAUCCCUUAACCAUGAGGUCGGGGGUUUGAUUCGCACACAUGGGAAUGGACCACAUUUCAGGGCCAACCAUUUACCUCUUUGGAGAGCACCCACGGCUAUCAACUAUUAUUUAAGUUUUCACAUUUUUAAUAUUAUAAAUUAUUCAUUAUGCCCUUUCUUUGAUUUUAAAUCAAUGCUCAUUGCGUGUAGGGCGCUGUUGAGAGUUUACUGGAGCGUAGCACACAUGUGCAACUUGCAGAUGGAUCUCUUGCUCCUAUGGAUGAACCUUGUAGGCAACUAUUGCUUUCAAGACAAACAGAGAUGAGUUCAAAGGGAUUGCGAUGCUUAGGAUUGGCAUAUAAAGAGGACCUGGGAGAAUUUUCAGACUACUAUUCUGAGAAUCAUCCUGCUCAUAAGAAGUUACUUGAUCCAGCUUGCUACUGUUCCAUUGAAAGUGACUUGGUUUUUGUAGGGGCUGUUGGUCUGAGGGUAAGCAUAUUAUAACAGCUUUUGUUUCUCAUUUUAGUUAAUAAAAUUUCAACUUAAUGAUUUCUGGAGAUGUCAUUUGCCAUAUCCAUUUUAUAGGAUCCUCCACGAGAUGAAGUUCACAAAGCAAUUGAAGAUUGUAAAAGAGCGGGGAUUAGAGUUAUGGUGAUAACUGGAGAUAAUAAAUCCACAGCUGAGGCUAUCUGUCGUGAAAUUAAAUUGUUUUCUGAUGGAGAGGAUCUUAGAGGGAAGAGUUUUACUGGUAAAGAAUUCAUGGCUCUUUCCCCUUCCCAGCAAAUCGAAACUUUGUCAAAGCCAGGGGGGAAGGUAUUCUCUCGUGCUGAGCCUAGGCAUAAGCAAGAAAUUGUUAGGAUGCUAAAAGAGAUGGGGGAAAUCGUCGCAAUGACUGGAGAUGGUGUGAAUGAUGCACCUGCUCUCAAACUGGCUGACAUUGGAAUUGCAAUGGGCAUAACUGGAACGGAGGUUAAUAUAUUACCUUGUUUCUUAUGCUUGGAAUUGGAAUCUUGAUUCUUGUAGACUUUUAGAUUAAACAUGCUCAUUGUUCAAUGCUCCAGGUCGCCAAAGAAGCUUCUGAUAUGGUUUUGGCAGAUGACAACUUUAGCACCAUUGUUUCAGCUGUUGCUGAGGGUCGCUCAAUUUAUAAUAAUAUGAAAGCUUUCAUAAGGCAUGUUGAUUAGCUCUACUGAUUUCCCUUGAACAAUUAAGAAAUGCCUUAUUUAUUCAUUUAAAAUUUCACAGGUACAUGAUAUCAUCCAAUGUUGGAGAAGUAAUAUCCAUAUUCUUGACUGCUGCUUUGGGGUUACCAGAAUGUAUGAUACCUGUGCAACUUUUAUGGGUGAAUUUGGUUACUGAUGGUCCUCCUGCAACAGCUCUUGGGUUUAAUCCUCCAGAUAUUGGCAUAAUGCGCAAGCCACCACGCAGAAGUGAUGAUGCUCUCAUUAACUCUUGGGUCCUCUUCCGUUACUUGGUUAGUAUUGAUCCUUCCUCUUGGACUUCUCUGGGUAAUAUUGUGAUAUCUUUAAGCCUACUAAAAGCUAGGCAAGAAAAGUUAAGAAAUCUUAAAUGGUUAAGGAGAACCAUCCUUCUUGACAUAAUAUUAUCUUUUAUCUUGUAUAUUGAAUAUUGUUUUUCAAUAAUCUCUCUCUCUUUGAUGGCAUCACAAUAGUUUUAAUGCGUCCCAAUUUCUUUUCCUUCUUGGAACAGUGUUCUCAUGUCAUUUACCAGUCAGCAAGCAUCCAUUGCAGUAGCGCUGAUAGUCUUAGUGUUUUUUUUUUUUGACAUUGUCAAGAGUUAUAGAGGCUAUUAACUACUUGUGCUAUCUCAAUGCAAAGAUGCAUGCAUUUAUCCAUGAACCUAUGUUUUUUAAAUUAGGAAACCAGUAACCCUGAAAUUGACUAAUGUUUUGCAUCUUGUUCAAUUGCAGAUAAUAGGUUCAUAUGUGGGCAUAGCAACUGUUGGCAUCUUCAUCUUGUGGUACACUCGGGCUUCUUUUAUGGGUAUCAACCUUGUGAGUGAUGGGCACACACUAGUUGAACUGUCUCAGCUUCGUAACUGGGGAGAGUGCUCCACAUGGUCAAAUUUCACCGUGGCUCCAUAUAUGGUUGGUGGAGGCCAACUGAUCAGUUUCUCAAACCCAUGUGACUACUUCACUGCUGGUAAAGUGAAGGCAAUGACUCUGUCAUUGUCGGUGUUAGUAGCUAUUGAAAUGUUCAAUUCCCUGAACGCGCUUUCUGAAGACAGCAGCCUGCUUACGUUGCCACCUUGGAGGAACCCUUGGCUUUUGGCGGCCAUGUCAGUCUCAUUCGGACUUCAUUGCCUUAUACUCUACGUUCCAUUCUUGGCAGAUAUAUUCGCUGUUGCUCCAUUGAGUUUGAAUGAAUGGUUCUUGGUGAUUCUGGUCUCAGUACCCGUAAUACUUAUCGAUGAGAUUCUUAAAUUUGUUGGAAGGGGUCAAAGAUACAGAGUAAAGGAGAAAACAGCAUAAAGCAGCAUCAGGUUACAAUUUGGUGAAGAGAUUUACCAAAGGCUAUACUGAAAGAUGCAAGGGAAAUACUGGUGCCAUGUUAAAUUGUAUUCUUAGCUCAUUUCUUUUUGGCCCAUGUUUUGGCAUCUAAAAGAAACGCAGUAGUAAAGUUUAUUCGUUAACAUUAACAAAAUGAUGCAGUUUAACUCCCCUAACUAGUCUUCCUUUCAAGUUGUAUUUUUGGACAACCUGGAGAACAUUGGGCUCCUACUGUUGAAUAUGUUAGUUCCAUAUGUUAUUACACUGGAUUCCAUGAAUGACUAAUGCUUAUUUUAAUUUUUUGUCUAGUUUAAUACAUACUUUGGUGCUAGAUAGCUGGUACCAUCAAAAGUUUCAACCUUGAAUAACCAUGAAAUAACUUGAAUACGAGGUAAGAACUGAAUCAAACAACCCACUGUUGCGAGUUUGGUUUCAUGUCUUCAUAAUUCAGAGUUUGGGUUGAAGCUAAAAAGCUUAAAUCAUAUUUUGUCUUUGAAUUUUUUAUAUUUAAAUUAACAUUAUUGUCUCAUUUCACUUCAAAAAUUUCCCAUGUUAUCAAGAAUGUGCCAUGUUCUUAUUAGAACUUUUAUUAGAGUAAACCAGGAUGAAAAUAAUAUUUCAAAUACUAUAGUUGGGCCAAAAAAAAAAAACAGAUACUAUAAGAGAAAAAGAUAGAUAUAGUUCAGAUACUUAAAUUCUGCUGAAGGCAAACACAUCUCUUGGUUACCAAAGCUCGUGAAUCUGGUCCGUUUCGGUACACCUCUUUCUUCUCAUUUAGGCCUAUAAAACCCCUAAAAGGUAUAUGGGUAGCCCAAAACGAUGAGAUCAAAAUCAAGAGCAUACAUUUUUACAAAAGUAACCAAUUGUAGUCUGCCGUUUGUCCAUUGUUUGAGGUAUCUCCUAACCGGACCCAGCUCCAAAAGCGUCAAAUCUUCACCCAGAUUAGUGGCUUUGGAAUCCUAAAGAAGCAACAUUAUUUGGACUACAUAUAACUGGUGGCCCCUCGUUCAUUGUUUCAGGAGGAUCUAGAUCUCUUCAUUUUCCUGUACCUUCAUUUCUUACAAUGCGACCAUAACAAUGUCGUUUGAAUAGUACUAACAAAUGCAAUUAUAGCUGAUAAGCUUUGCACAAAUAAUAAUAAUGUAAUAAACUGUUUUGGGUCGGAAUUUUUUAGAUGAUAAAUGCACAUCCAUUUAAUUUUAGUAAUUGAUGCAAGAGAAUUUCUGUCAGUGGGCAACAGGAAGAGAGGGGUCUUUUCUUUCAUCAUUUGUUCUUGGGAAUCUACUGUGCUGAAGCUUUGUCGGUGCAAAACAUUGGAAGGUCCACAAAGCCCAAAGUUUUUAGAACCUUCACUUCCUUUACGUUGCUUAUUGCCAUGCUUUAACUAUGUACACAUGGAAUAAUAAUUUAGCACCCAAAUUUAGUUGUAUAAAAUCGCAAUGCUAUCAGAUGGACCAUGACAGGAUCUCAGCAAAAUAAUUCAAGACUAGAAGAUCUGAAGCCUAUUAAAUUAUUAAGCAGAGAAAAGGAACAAAAACCCCUCCCAUAUAUUUUUUUUGGUACCUCGAAUGUAUUAAAUUGGGAUCAAGAAAAUGGUUGGUUGAUCUGCUACUGGCCCUACCCUCUCCUUCAAUGCUAACUUGCUUACAUGGCCUGGUUUUUUUCAGCUUGACCCCCAUAUUUGCUUUGAUCAUCUCAAGCACUCUUAAUCAUCUACACAACAUGAGAUGAGCCGUAGUUAUGAAAUGACAAGGAUGCUUGGGAAUUAAGCUACUAGUUACCCUAAACCAAGGUUUAAAAAAUUUUCAUUGAUUAGGUUUUCAAGGAACAAGGCAAACACCUUUUGCAUCAAUUAACUUUUGCCAAAGCACUUUAACUAAGUGAGAACAGUUAGCUUUCAUCCGGAGAUGAUGCCGGGAAUUAUGAGAUCAUUGUUAAGUGUGUCUAGUUUAAAAGAUCCCAAUACCCCAUUAAGCAAAAAUAAAGAUUAAUAUAAAUAUGGCUUUUCUGCCGAGUGGUUAGCUUAUGCUCCCUCCAUCAUUCUCUUUAAGUAAAUUAAUAAUAAAAACAACGAUCGUACACUCACUAUAAGCCAUUAAUAGAGAGAUAAGGACAGGACCGUAUUGCCAUAACUUUCUUUCUUAUCAGUGAGUGGUGUGACUACAACCCUUGCAUACCAGUCCUGUUUGAUACAUCUUUUUUAUUUUCUUUUGCCCUUCCUCUGUCUCUUUACUUACUCCCACUAACCCUCCAUCACUAGAGGCCAAGAACAAUUCCAAAUUGAAGCUUCCUAUUUAAUUAUAAACACUAGCAUCACUAGCAAGAGAAGGGGUCUGUGUCAGUUUUUUUGUUGGCUGUAGUGGUUGAUAGGUAGUAAGAAGUGAGGAGUGAAAAUGAAUGAAGAGAUGAAUGGUGUUGAGGUCGAGAAUCAUCAAGAACAUGCGCCUGAGAAAAUAGAUUACGUGUUCAAAGUGGUGGUGAUCGGUGACUCGGCUGUUGGCAAGACUCAGAUUCUGUCCAGGUUUACCAAGAACGAGUUUUGCUUUGAUUCCAAGUCCACCAUUGGGGUUGAGUUCCAGACCAGGACGGUUACCAUUAAGAACAAAGUCAUCAAAGCACAGAUCUGGGAUACGGCUGGCCAAGAAAGGUUAGCUUCUUUCCUCCUUUUUCCCUGUACCUGUAGUGUAGGAUCUCUGACUUUGAGAUUCUGUAACACAGAUUUCUUUAAGUUAAUACAUAUAAUAAUCAAUCUGGUGAGUUGAGAGAUGGCAUUUUCAAAUGCUCAAGAAAACAUAAUUUAUCUUGGGAUGAAAUUUUACAUUUGGGUCCGCACUUGUCCCGAAUUUUAGAUUGCUGUAAUCUCAUAUAGUUGAAUCUUUUAACGGGAAUGGUGUGAUUCACUAAUUUUGUCUCUUGUUCAAGUAAACAAACAAAGGGCAAAAAGAUAUAUGUGGUUGCAUCAUGGUGAAAAAUACGAAGGCUAAUCGGAUCACUUUUAGCAGGAUUAUAAAUGAGAAUGUGGAUGGGAUAUUUAAUUCAAGGGAAAUUGAUCGCCAAGUGAGGUCAUCAGAUUACCUACUCUACACUACUUAAUAAUUCAAUUCAUAAUCUAUUUGUUUCGGUGGUUUGGCCCGCCACUGGCCACACCACUAGGAAUCUUGGGCUGCUUUUGACCAGUGAAAAACAAAGCUUAAUUUCAGUCCAAAACUAGCUGGAUUCCUUUGAAUAUAGCAUCUUAUCAAAAUUAAAAUGUGUGUUCACUACAUUACAUGCAAAGGAGCAGAAGAAGUUAUUGCGGUCGGUGGAUUAGCCAUCUAAUCAUUAAACUAACUAUUCUAAUUCUUACCACACUUGUAGUUAUAAAAUAAAAUAGUUAAAAUUAAUAAUAAAAUAUCAGCUAAGCCAACAACUUAUCCACUGCUACAAAUCACAUAAUUUACGAAUGAUGGUUAAAAUCUAAAAUCCAUAAUGGAAAAAGUGUGAAACUAUUCAGUUAUUUUUGAAGCUAACGUUUUUACAUUUCGCAAUUGGGCAGGUACCGAGCUGUUACAAGUGCGUAUUAUAGAGGUGCCUUGGGGGCAAUGCUAGUGUACGACAUCACCAAGCGGCAGAGCUUCGAUCACGUGGCCAGAUGGGUGGAAGAACUACGUGCCCACGCCGACAAUUCCAUCGUCAUCAUGCUCAUUGGGAACAAAGCUGAUCUAGUGGACCUCAGAGCCGUUCCAACUGAAGACGCUGUUGAGUUCGCAGAGGAUCAGGGCCUAUUCUUCGCCGAGACGUCCGCUCUUAGCGGUGACAAUGUGGAUAAAGCUUUUUUCAAGCUGCUGGAUGAGAUUUACGGUGUGCUUUGUAAAAAAUCCUUGGAAUGUGGAAACGGAAAACUCAACGGUGCUGAUCACGCCACCGCGUUGAAAGGAUCUAAGAUUGAGGUCAUCGCGGGUCCUGAUUUAGAAAUAAGUGAGAUGAAAAAAUUAUCUACCUGCUCUUGCUAAUCUUCUUUUCAUUUAAGGUAAUGUUUGCUUUAUUAACCUUAUUUUAUUUUAUAUUUUCUUUUGUGCUCUUGGGUUGUUUUUACAUUUAAAUCAUAUGGCAUAUUAUAUUUAUGAAUAUAAAUAUAGGGAAAUAGUUAUGGUUUAGGGAUACCGUCUUUGAGUCCUCUUUUUUUGGUUUGAUAUGGCCAGUUCUAGUUGCUGGGGUGCAGACCUGCGCCAGGCUCCAUGCCUGAUUGUUCUUGCUUAUUCUUCAUUGUAAUGAAAUUAUAACUAAAACUUUAAUUGAGGUGCAAAGCUAUUGGACUAGUUCAGAUAAGUUUUUAAUAUUUUUGUUUUUCAUGUUUGGUAGAAAUAUGAGUGGUCAAAAAUUGGUCCAAACUUGAAUUUGUAUUUGGAUCCAAAUAUUUUUUCCACUUAAAAUAUUGAAUAAAUAAGUUAAAUUUUCAUUUUUUAUUUGAAUAUGUGUUUUUUUUUUUUUUUAUCAUUAUAGCCUUAAAGUUGUAUAUCAACUCAAGAAAAUAAAUUUAAGGUUCAAGAGGAUAAGCAUCAAACCAAUAUAUAUCUAUAUACUCAAGAAGAUCAAGCCUCCCACGAUAUGUCAGACUAUAAACAACCAUUAUCUUAGAUCCAGGAGUAGGAUCAACAAAUGAAGUGGAGGACUGUCAAGAGAUACAAAUAACUAGGUAUAUACCACUUGAAGGACAUCCUUGCUUAACUCUAGCUACUAUUACUCUGCUUAAAGUCUUUUCUGAAAAGGUCUUUCACCUUCAUUAACUUAAACAUCGGUUCCGGCACUCUCAUAGUAUGUUUAUCGUCUUACAUACCCAUCGGCUUCUCUAGCUAAAAAUAACAGCCCGUUCAUACUCCUCUAAAGCAGGCGUUAAGAAAUUUAAUUUUAAAAGAAUUCAGUCUACCAUCCUGUGAAUCAUUAGAUGCUGAUGUUUGAGAAGUCUUAUUGGAAUCUUGAGAUUGAGUUCUUGUGAUGUCGUAGUUGAUGCACGGCUUCCUCACUCUGGACAAAUGCUUUAUUUUAAAAUAAAUAUCUAUUUGAUUUCUAUUUGACUUGGAUUUUUGUCAACUGAGGGAUUUGAGUUUAUCGUGGACGUGGAGCUGUUGAUCAUGUAUGUAGGGUGAUUGCAAUUUGCUUUAGGUUCUCAGGUUAUAUUUUUGUGGUGUUUUUUGUGACUCGGGUUGUAUGGGAGGAGAUUUUUAGGUGUGUUGACCUUUACUUUCCUAGCUUUUGUUGCUAUGCGUAUGUUUCACUUUGAUUAAUAAAACUAGACUUAGAAAAUAAAAACUCCGACUGAUGAAAUUAAGUAUUAUUUUGGUUCAUAUGAUUGUACUCGUGCAACUUAAUUUAUCUUUUAAUGUGAUAUUAUUAUUAUAGACAGCUAGGAUGUGCAAACUUUGCUUCUUUUUCUAGGAAUAUUUUUUCUAAAAAAGGUAUAUCUAACAGCCCAUCUGUAUGGUGUGUUUAAUUUUCAAUGAUUCCAUACAACAAAAAUACAAAGCAACUUUGCUGUUUUUUUUUUUUUUUUGGAGAAAGAAAAUACAAAGCAAUUUAAAAGGAAAAAGAAACGAAAAAAGAGAGAGUAUGAAAUGCUACUAAAAAAAAUCUUUGAGGUACAAGUAUACAAGGAAUUAGAUAAUCAAAUUUAUAUUCACCAAUCAAUUAAAAAUUAAUAUUUUUAGCAAUUUAAAUUUUUAAUAGGAUAGAAUUAUUUUAAAAAGAAGUGCAAAAAAUGAUAAAUAGAAUAAUUUUAAUAAUUUUUAUUUUAUUUUAUUCUACUUCAUUUAAGAUUAUAUUGUCUUUUAUCAAAAAAUCUAAUUAUAUUCAUAAUUUAAUUCUAAGUAAUACCAAAUAGAUUUUAUAAUUUAAAUAAACACUCAAUUUUUCUAUAUUUAUUUUUUCAACACUUAAAUUUUUUAGUUUAUCAAACAUAGCAUUAUUUUUCCAUUUAUUUUUACUUUAUAGUUUAUACCAAUUUAGGGGGGUGGGGGAGCUAAUAAUUUAAAACAUGCAAUAAAUAUAAGAAUUGAACCAAAUAUUUAUAAAUCACUAUAUAUAAGAACCCAAGUGAAAUUAAUGGGUUCUUUUAGUAACUCCAAAAAAUAUACAUGUAUAAAUUUCCUUAUUGCUUGUAUUUGAUAUGCUUCCUUGUAUAUGUAUAACGAGUUUGUUGGUUCUGCCCCAAAGGCCAACCCAGCUACCAAGUGUUAUAACAUCAUAUAAAUUAGUUAUAAGCCAAAAAAUUUAGAUUUUAGAUGCAUCUUUAAAAGGAAAAAGAAGAUGUUGCAAAAAUACUACUAAAUGAUACGAGCAACUGAGCUAUACAUAUAAUAUAGUUAAGUAAUCUGCGUAGUCGAGCUGGAAAUACGAUUUGUGAUGGUGUAAUUACUACUGAACUUGGGCAUGCAUGCUCAUUAUUGAGGCAAAUUAAUGAUGGAAGGCAUAGGCAACAGCUGCGUGGUACAAAUAGUGGGGACAUUACUCGGGUGGCAAACGCAGUUAGCAUUUUUCAAACGAUUAGCCAGUUUUGUGCAAGCCUCCAUUGCUCCAAUGAUUUAGCAACCGGCAAUUCCGCAUCCAACACCCUAAUUAACAUAAUUUCCAUCUCAACGCAGACUAGCUGGCUUCUUCCUACCUUCCAUGAUUAUACUAGAUAUCUAAGGAGGAGAUAAUAUAUAGCACAAAAACAAUAAAUUAAAAAGCGGAAUUGCCGAAUCCAAAACACGGAAUUUUUUUUUUUUAAUGUGGACGGUGAAAUGAUAAAGAAAGGCUACAAUUGAUACCCUGCUGAAAUUAUUCUAAGAAGAUGAUGUAUAUGAUCAAUACGUGGGAAUCAAACUUUCUUAUCUUAACAAUGUGCUUUUCAACAAUGAAUGCUAGAUUUUAGUGAGGAAGGUUUGACAUUUUGAAUGGACCAAAUCCUUUUCCUUUACAAUUUAAUUAGGGCCAGCUCGUAAAUGUAAAUUAGGUAUAGGUAAGUUUUAUCUAAUUAUCAAGGUGGAGUUUCUAAUUAUGGUUCAUAAAGAUUUGAAAAUUUCACUAAUCGGCAUGAAAAAAAUAUUUGCCAUUUGUGGUGAUUCGGUCUAGAAGUAGAGACAAACCCGGCCCAAAAAGGCAUUGGUAGUUCAAUCACAUCAUGGCCAAUAAUGAGUGAAUAAUAGCUAAGAAAAUGGGUAGCCAUAUACAGCAGCAAAACUAGGAGAUCUGCGCUAAAACAGGGGAAACACCCAAACAGAGAGAAACUAAUAAUAAUAAUACUAAUAAUAAGAUUGGCCUUGGGUCAACUCCAAAAGGGCUGUCCUACGUCCCCUUUCUCACACCAAAUCUUUUUCACCCAUUUCUGCAGACGACUCAUCGUUGAUUGUACAUACAAAUUACCCAAAACAAAAAAAGCCUGAACAAGCAAUACAUACCCCUAAGUUGGUCAAAAAGUGGACUUUCAUUGAGUCCUUCCAAAAGUACAUAAACAGUUUACAGCAAGCACCCAAUGUUUAAGAAAGGAUCAAAUACAUUAAUAGAAUUAGAUUCCAAUGAAUCAUUGUAUAAGAAUAUAAUGCUAUUUAUGUACAAAAUGCAAGCAAUAAAAUUGAAGAGACUUAGAUUCCAAUUCGGUAACAAAAUUUGUAGCUGAAAUCAUUUAAACUACAAGGCUAAGUUUCUAAUCAACAGUGAAAAAGUUGAAGGUCAGCCCUCGUUUUGGCGACUAUUAAGAUCGAAGGACUCAGAUUUUCUACAACUUUUCACCCUCAAAAACCCGUACAAUUUCUUGAACUCCUUAACCGCAUUUGCGCCUUCUUUACAGAAAACCCCGCUCGGUUCGCCAAUUUCCUCCACCGGUUUCCUCGACCCAUUCUCACACGACCCUAGUCCGAGAUUUAAAGCCCCCCUCCCGUCACCGUCCGUCUGCAAUGCGUUGAUGACCGUUUUCAAAGCCCGGCUAGGCGAAUUCCGGUUGGCGAUCAUUAACUCUCCAAUCUCAGCGGGGCUUAAACUCGCCCCGUUUUGGAAAAUCUCCUCUACCUGCGGGAACAGCUUAUGAUCCUUGAGCCCUAGGUAACUAUUGGCCAGCGUUUUAAAAGCCGUGAAAUUACAUAAUGGAAAAUGAAUAUGAACAUCAAUCCUUCCCGGUCUAAGAAUAGCCGGGUCAACGUGAUCUUUGCUGUUCAUUGUGAAGACCAUGAUUCUUUCUUCGCCACAGCUGGAGCUUAAAAUCCCAUCCAUGAAACUUAAAAUUCCUGGUAAACUCACGGCCGUUGAUUUCUCUGACAAAUACCUGUCGAGAUCCUCGAUAACGACCAAUGAUUUGGUGGUUGUUUGUAACAAGAGAAAUUUAAGGUCUGAAUCAUCAGAAACUUUGGACAAAUCAAGCUCGUACACAUCGUAACUCAAGAAAUUAGCCAUGGCUGCGAUAAAGCUUGAUUUCCCAGUACCUGAAGGACCGUAAAGGAGAUAACUCCGUUUCCAAACGCGACCCAGACGAUGAUAAUACUGUUUGGCUUUCGCGAAAGAAUAGAGAUCGGAUUUGACUUUGUUUUUAAGGUCCGAUUCCAUAGCUAUCGUUUCAAACGAUGAAGGAUGCGUGAAAGGAACGGAUCUCCACCGUUCCUUUCGAUCACCCUGAUAAUCAACGACGUUCACGUAAAGCUUCAGUCCUCUUUUCUUCUCAUCGAAUUCAUCGGAAACCGAGUGGAUGUGUUGGAGAUAAGGCCGGAGAACCCUUCGUUUGUCAACUUUUCGAAUCUUUAACACCAAAGUUUUAUCUUGGUUAAUCCAGGAAAUCUUGGCACCCAAAAAAUCGUCCUCGAUUAUUUGGUUUGGGUCGAGAUGAAGGACGAUUUCAUUUGGUUUUUUGCCAGUGAAGAGAUUCGUGAAAUCGGAAUCUUCAAUGAAAGUGAGAGAAUUCAGAUAAACCAAAACCUUGUGAUAAAGUUGGUUUCUCUGCAUGCCUUCAUUGAACUCUGGGACUUUGAAGAACUGGUAGACAUGGAAACAAUCUUCAAUGGAACGCCAUUUUUUCUUCACGAUAUAAAUCAAUCCCGUUUUUAUCAAAACAACCCGAAGAAGGAACAGCAAAAUACAAGUUAACAACAAGGAAAACAAUAGGAAAAAUAAAUUAUAAAGAAUCGCCAUUGUUUACAAGAAUUUAUGGGGGAAACCUAAAGGAGGAGGAAUUUAAGGGUAAAAUUUCAUCUUGCAGAUAACAAACAUGUUUUUUUUCGGGAAAAAGAACGAAGAGAAAAUACGAAAUUUAAGAAAACGGAGAGGUAUAGGGAUGGGCGGAUUGGGGAAUUUAUGAGGGCCAAAGUGGUGAAUUUAUGUAAAUAAAAUUCUCGGCCAGAGACAAUUACUUAUUGGCAUGUUUGAUGGGUCAAAAACUCGAAAGAGAAAAGGAUUUUAAGUCUGUUUAAUAAUACUAGGUAGUGUAUAUUUGUAGGAAUUAGUAGAUAAAAUUAGAGAUUGAGCACAAAUUCACUUAGGAUGCACCCUACUUUGUGAGGAACAAGCAAGAUAAAAUAUACAAAUUGGCCUUUGUUUAUUAUGCUUAUCAUCGGCCCUAACAAGGAGUCCCAGUCUAACUACAUACUUUGCCUUGUCUCCACACGAUUUGGCCACGGAAAAAAGAAUAAAAGUAAACAUAAAUAAAUAUUAAAUUUAUCCCCACCCCCCUGCUUAUUAUUUUAGCUAUUUUGGUGGCCUUUGGUUUGCCAAAAAGCAAUAUUGGAUUCAUUAAACAUAUAAAUCUUCUUAACAGGAUUGUUAUUUGGUAUUUGACGAAAUAUUAGGCAUGAUUCGUUCUUAAUUGCUAUUCUAUUUUGUAUUUCUUAAUAGGAUUGUUAUUUGGUAUUUUUAUAACAUAACUCUCCUUAAUUUUAUAAGCAAGAUAAAAAAUCAUCAUAUAUCUUUAUUAUACCAUACGCCCUUGACACUACGUUGAUUUGACGAUGCGUCUUUCUCACCGAGACUAUCAUAAAGGUUUGACAACACAACAUUGUCUUUGUCUCUCUAGAGAAGCCCGGCUCACGCCCUUGGCCAAACAAUAUAUCUUUUAAGAGUCACAUUAUCCACAAGAGAUGUAUUAGAAAGACGACACUCAUCAAUCCAUCACAUCCAACAACUCCCUUCAUUUUGUCUUUUUAAGUCGAAUCCUAUGAUUCCUUUUGUCGACAUUCGCCACUCUAUCAUGACAUCUAUACUUAAUAGGUGAGACCCAUGCUUGACCUCAUUCUCCCCCUAAAUAUCCCUUCAACAAUCGAAUAGGGGAGAGAAAAAACAUAGACAACCUUACUCUACAAAACAUUUAGCUCACAAUUUCACUUGAAACAUAAAAAAAGGGGUAAUUUUCCACACCUCCAUGAUGUGAACCACUCCAAACAUAGCAGCUCGCACUCUCUACGGUGUAAAUUGCCAUCGAAAACCCCAAGAUUUUUGUGUUGUAAUUAUAACACCCCUCGUCCGACUCGAUUGUUGUGACACACGGUCUGCUCCAAGGGUAUGUUGAAAGGUCGUGUGUCCCCUGCACCUAAAAUUUCUAAGUCAGUAUGCAUGAUAGUAGACACACGGGUAGAGACACGGCCGUGUGUCUCAACCGUGUGGAGGACACAGCCUAGCAUACGGACGUGUGCCUUGGCCUGUGCCCUUAAAUGAAUGAUGACGUCAUAAACAGAAUGUCCAGGUUUUUGGACACAGGUGUGUCUAGGCCGUGUGAGGGACACGGGCGUGUGUCCGGCCGUGUGAAAACCUCUGUAGGUUCGAAAUGAAAAAUAAAUUCUAGAACUUCCACAUGGGUAUGGGACACGGGUGUGUCCCAAAGCACACGGGCGUGUACAUUGCCUCCACAAGAGCGUGUGAGGCUUAAACCUAGGAAUUUUCUUAGAAUUUUCCUAAGUUCUCGGUUUAGUCCCAGAUUACUUUUAAUGUAUGUUUUGGACCUCGUAGGUCCGUGAUAAGGACAAUAUGAUUUUGUUUGAUCGAUUUUAAUUUUUGGAAUGAAAUUUUAUGACCCGUAUUUUCUGGAAAUACCCUGUUUAUGUUCGGUAAUGCCUUGUACCUCGUCCUGGUCUCGGGUACGGGUAAGGGGUGUUAUAAGCAAUUUUAGUAGAUUUUAAUUUUUUUUAUAUAGUUUGGAACAACCCGAUUUUUUUAGUGGUGUCGAAAAUAGUGGUUUGAGGACACCAAAUAUGUCAAGUAAGUUCGUAAAUAUUAUUAUUUAAUAUUUACUAGUCAAAUAUGGUUUUAAAAAAGUUUUUGAAUUGGUAAUUUGUAUUUUAUAAUGAUUUAUUAGGUCAAAUAGUUUUAGAAAGUGAAGUAUCAGGACCUCGUUUCUAUAAACCGAGUCGUAAAUAUUUUUAUAAAUAUUUACGGAGUAUCAUAAAUGUGGUAUUAAAGUUUAGUUGAAAAUUUUUAAUGUUUCGAUAGUUAAUUAAUUAAAAACGGAUAAAUUGAAAACAGUGCAAAGCUUGCUAAUUAUAAUAUUUAAGUGACUAAAUGGCUUGAUUAAUAAAUGAGGGAGGACUUAAGAAAUAAAUAAACCAAAAUUAAAAGGUGAGGCCGCAUAUGAAGGAAAAAUAAUAAAAUAAAAUGAUUCAAUGGCAAAAUUGUAAUUUUGAUGAUUGAAUUUAAAGGUUUUCUAGAGAUUUCUUCUCCAAUUUUCAGCCAAAAAUAGUCAUAGGAGAGAGUUUAAGCUGGUAUACUUUUGCUUCAUGUGAGCUCAAUUCUUACUAGUUUCUUGUAAUUUUUAUGUUUUUGAAAUUGUCACAAUUAGGUCUAACUAAACUAUACAUUUGGUUUUUUAUUUUAUUAAAGAUUUUAGAAGUUACCAUUGAUAAAUAUUAGAUGUUUUUUAUUAAUAAUAUGGAUUUAGAGCUUUGAUUAUGUUGUAUGAUGAUUUUAUAAAGUGAUUUUGUUAAAUAUUGAUUUUAGGAUUAAAUUGUGAAAAGGUUAAAAUAUUAGGGUUUGAUAGUAAAUUUUGGAUUUAUUGGGGUUGUAUGAAGGCCUAGAAUAUAUGGAUAAAUUAUUGAUUUAAAAAUUAGUUAAAUUGAUAAAUUAACUAAUUAAGGGAUUAAAUUGCAAAAAUUGUAAAAGUUGGGGUAAUUGUGUAAAUUUUAAAAAAAUUGUAUCAAUUGUAAAGUGAAUUGGAAAUGAAAUAUAUACUAAUAAGUGAGUAAUUUUAUAUUCUAGAUCAAGAUCCCAUAAAUAUUCGUGAAAAAGGGAAAAUAGCGGAAUAGUCCCUAAACUUUUACAAUUACUACAAUUUCAAUCCAGGUAAGUUCGUACGGUUAAAAUUUUAUAUUUUUAUAAAUUUUAUGAAUGAUAUUAUGCAUUUAUUCUAUUGUUGGAAAUGAGUUAUUGUUGGAAUUAUAAUAUUAAAUUGGAUAUUCAGUUUGAAUGGAACGCAAGAUUUGAGUACAUUUGUAUUUUGAUGUAUGAUGGUAUUGGAAUAAGACAACGAUAUUUUUCCCAAGUAAAUCAGGGUUCAGCAUUUGUUGUGAACUCUUGUGUUUCACUUUCUGUUUAGCUCUUACAGAGCUUCUGUUCAGCUCUUAUGAGCUUCUGUUCAACUCUUAUGAGCUUCUGUUUUUCAACUUUUGAGCUUCUGUUGGCGUAUUCGAGAGGACCAGCUCUUAUGAGCUUCUUUUGAUGAUGUACUCUUAUCCGUAAGUCGUUCUUCGAAUAGAAAAAUUUCAGUAAGGUGAUUUAUUUAAUGAAUUUGAAAGACAUGUUAUUUAUUUUUGUAUUGAUUUGAAUACGAAUGUAUUUAUCAAUUAAAGUUGUGAAUGACAGGGGGUUGACAUGAAUGAUUUUAUUUGUUUGACUUGUUAUAGUGGGCCGGUAAGGUUUUUAUUUAACCCGUCGAAUUUACUAAGUUCCAUUAAGCUUAUUUAUAUUGUUUAAUGUCUUUGUAGAUUUUCAAAAAGUUGGAUGAUCGGAUCAGCACUCAAGUCACACUAUCUAGCUUAUCUCUGUAGUUUUUAAAACCUUAAAUACGGUUUAUAUGGCAUGUAUAGGCUUUUGUUUGAUUUUCGUCAAAAUUUAGCUUAUGUAAAUAUUAUGAAUAAUAUUUAUUUAUAUAACCAACUACACAUUGAUAUGAAAUUAAGGUAUGAUUGUGAUGUUAGUAUAAGUGACAUAUGUAUGUACAUAAUUGAGUUAAAGUGAACUUCAGUAACUUGGUUAGAUAGGUUAAUUAGGUAAGUUUGGAUACUUGGUUGACAAGUUUUAAGUUGUCAUAUGAGGUGCCUAAGGGCAUAUUGGUUGUAUGUGGUGAUAAUACAUGUUUACGACAUAACUUUAGCUUGUGUUGAAGGCCUUGUUAUGGCUGGUUGAUGUGCAAUUUGUUGAGGCUAGGUUGGUGUCAAUUUAGGUGAGAAAUAUGGCUUAGAAAAUGGCCUAUUUUCAUCCACACGGGUAGAGACACCUGCGUGUAUCUCAGCCGUGUGUGACACACGGCCAGGCUCUGUGUCUCUUGUAUCUUUUAGGAAUGCAAGUCAAUAUGCUCACACGGCCUAGCACACAGGCGUAUGACUUGGCUGUCUGACACAAGUUAGAGAGUUACACGAGUGUGGACACGAGCUUAGACACAGCCGUAUGUCCCUACUUCGCAUGCCACACGGCCUGAGACACGGGCGUGUCUCCUGACCGUGUGAGUCACAUGGCCUGGCCACACAGUCGUGUGACCCUUGCAGUGUUGAAAAUUUUAAAUAUUUCUAAAAAAUUCUUUGAGUACCCGAUUUAGUCCUGACUUGUUUCUAACACGUAUUUUGGGCCCCGAGGGCUUGUAUAAGGGACAAUAUGUUUGAUUUUGAUUGGUUUCUAACAUGAAUGUUUUAUUAUAUAAAAUAUAUGUUUAUUGAUCUGUAAACUCGGGUAAUGCUCCGUAGCCCUGUUCCAGCGAUGGAUACGAGUUAGGGGUGUUACAUAGUUUUUAAAUAAAAGAACUAAAAUUAACAUAUCUAUACAAUAAAUAAUGGCAACACAUGCAAUAUGUACGAAAUUAAAAUAAAAAAUAGUUUAAUUUGUGAGUAAAAGAAAAUUGAAAUAUGUAAAUACAUUAUACUAGGAAUAUUAAAUCCACUUCAAUUGUUUAUCAUAGUAUUGUUAUUUUUUUAUAGCAUGUCAAAAAGUUGUCAAGUUAGUGAAAAGAAAAUUCAAUAUUAAUAAUAUAUUUUUUAACACAAAGGUGUGUUAAAAUGACCGUGUUUUAAACCAACUCGAGUACCGUUAAACACGGGUUCAAUCCCUAGACAUGUUAAUACUAGUUAUUUUAUUUAAGAACUAUAAAAAAUUAUGAAAAUAUAAAAAAGACCAUUAAAAUGAUAAUAGUAGUCAUUUAAUAAAAUGAUAUAUUAAUCAAUUUCUAACUGAGUUGGUAUCCGAUUAACCCGUGACACCAACACAAUUAUGAAUUUUAUUAAUAGUAUAGAUUAUUCUAUUUAAAAACAAAAGUCAUGCUAAAGAUGUCAUUUUCUUAUCCUUUAAUGGGGUUUAUCAAUUUUUUAAAGUUUAUGCUUUACCUCGAUUAAUGAUUUAAUUGAUUUUGGUUUGCACAUAUAAGAAAAAAUGAUCUAAUACCAAUGUUUUUUAAAUUGGAUCGGUCGUCAAAUUAAUUAAACCAGUAUCUGUUUAUUUAAUUGGUUUGAAAAAAAUAUUUAAAAUUCAAAAAAAUAAUAAAAAUAAACCCAAAAUUUAUUAUUAUGCAUAUUAUUUUCAAACUUUGAUGAAAAUAGAAAAAAAAUGUGUACAAUUUAAUAUAAAUUUUAAUUUUAAGUGGUUAUAAUUUAUAGUCAUGUUUAAAUAUUGUGUUUUAAAAGUUGAAAUAAUUUUUUUGUAUUAUGCUGUUUUAAGAAAGUAAAAAUUAUGAUGAUUUAUUUUACAUUAUUAAAAUAAUGAAUAAUAGGAAAUAAAAUAUACAAAAAAUUACAAUAUGUUUUAAAAAAAGUAUGAUAGUUUAUUUUACAUUAUUAAAAGAAUAAGUGUACAAAAUUUUUGUUAAAGUUGUAUAUUUUGUUUCCUCAACUCAAAAGUGUUGCGUUAAUUGUUUUGUUAGUUUUAAAUAUAUUUUUAAUAUUGAUGUGAUUUAAAUCAUUUAGAAAAACUUAGUGAUUAAUUAAAAAAAAAAGUGUUUGGGGAAUGAAAUGUUCUAUUUUCAUAUUUUUUUGAAAACAUAAAAUUUUCAAAUUUUAUUUAUUUAAAAUUGAUAUGAUAAAUAUAAUAAUUGAACUUAAAAAUAGUCCAAAUGUGAUUGAAAUAAGCUAUCCAAUAUGAUAAAAAAAAAAAAGAAAGAAGCAAAAGUAAUACAAAUUGUAUUUGCAGACUGAUUUUCUGUUUCUAGAUUGCAAUCAAGAAAUUAAAAAUUAUGAUUAUGUAGUAAUUUGGGGAAAGAGAAAUGGUGUUCAUAUAAACUGCGUCAAAUUAGAGGUAAAACAUUAAAAUCGGAUUUCAAUAAAUGGAUUUCCAUAUGACAGUUUGAAGAAAAAUCUUCCAGGAAAUUUGAAGGAGUUAUAAUUAAUAAUUUUUUUAAGAUGAGGAAAUAAUGAAAUUCUUUUUAUCAUUAUACCAUCAACUUUGUUGAAUAAUAUUUCUUACAAGAUGAGGAGAGCAAAGCAAAUAAUAAUAAUUUUAGGUGGGAUAUUGUAUUAAAUAUUAUUUAAAUCAUAAUUAUUUGAUCAAUUACCAAUCAUAUUUAACUCAAUUCUACUUUGAUCAAUCAAAUUAAUAAUAUUGUCGUAACUAUAAAUUUAUACUCAUUACCAAAAGAAAUGAUGAAUUUUUACUAAUAUUCAACCAAAACUAACUGUUAUAUCCUUAUAAUAUUCUCACUUGAAAAUACCCUCAUCAAUAUUUUUUGCUUAAAUUUUGGGUGAGCAUGGCAGCAAUAUGAAAGUUUCAAAGAGAGAAAGAAAUAAAGUGGCUAAUUUCCAACCUAACAUAUGGAAAUCAGUUCUGUUGAAAUCCAUUUCACUCUUCACUGUCAAUUGGUUGAUAUCUGAAAAAAGAAAAAUCCACCAUAACUAUCAAAUUUAUAUAUGACUUUUGAUUUGGUGCAAUUAUACAUAUGAAAUUUAAAUUUUUUAUUUUGAUUUUUAUUGAUCACAAUGUAUGUAAUAUAUCAACACAAAAAUAGUGUUAACUUGAUAAAAUUGUUAGUAAUUUGUGAAAUUUGAAUCAAAUUAAAAUUUAAGCACAAAAUUAAAGUCCAUGAAUCAAAAUCUAUAAUUUUUAUUUUAUCCCAAUCUAAAAGUUGCAUUACUUUGAUAACUUUAUGAUUUUUAUAUUAGUUUUAAUUUAUGUUCUGAAAUGUAUUUAUUUAUACAUAAUAAUUAAAAAAUUAAAGUUUUAUUUAAUUGUAAAACCAUUCAUAAUUAACAAAGUUAAAUCUACCCUUCCCAACUACUAUAAUCACUUACCCUUAUAAUAAAACUUUCUCCAAGACACUCAAAAAACUGUACACCAUAUGCAACAUUCAACUGUCUUUUUAUAGGUUCUGUUCAGGUAAACAUUAUGUUGCUUUGAUAAGACCUUACCUUUACUUUUAAAUGGUUGGAUUUUAUCUUGAAUAAUUAUCCCAAUCAGACAGCCUCUCCAAACAUAUCCAACUUUCUCUACUUCUGAAGCUCCCAAACGAUAUUAAAAAUUAAUCCACUAGAGCUGAUUUAUUGAUAAUAAGAAGUUAAUCAAAAUUAUCCUAAGUAAAAUAUUACCAACAAACUCUCUACAAUUUAAUUGUUUCAAUAUAUUAUUCCAAGAAAUAAAUAUUAUACUAUUUAAACAAGGAAUAAAACAGUAACAUCCUAAAUAGUUAAAAAGUACCAACAAUUUUAUUAUGAAGAUUAUAUUUCAAUGUGGAGGCUGAAUUUAUGUGAUAAAAAUAAAAUUUGAUAUAAUAAUUAAAUAUGAUUUUGAAUAAAAUGAUAAAGCUGAGCAUGUAUAAAUAUUUAUCUAUAAUUUAUAAAUUAUUCUCAAGAUAAUAUUUAAGGAGUUUUUGUUAAAUCCUCCACAAAAAUAAGUUGAUACAAUUACUUAUGAAAAUGAUAUUAUUUCAAUUUUAAUAUGAGGCUAAAAAAUAUCCAUCACUAGUUUGAGUUAAUAUGCAUGUAUUUUGCUGACUCUUAAAAUGUAGAAUAUUAGGCUUCACGAUAACUUUUUUAUUUUUAUUUUAUUUUAUUCGUCAGCAAAACGAUGAAAAUGAAGGGGUUGAGGAGACGAGUAUGGCAAUUCAAAGGAUCCCACAGCCUCUGGACUCAAAUCUGUGAAACAUGUGACGUAAGAUGAAGCAGUGAGCAGUCGUUACAUAUCGAUGGAUCCCCGUCCAUAGGUUGCUUGGCUCUUUUCACACCUCAUCUCUAUUUCAUGCAGUCCACUCAUGGGUUUUAUGGGUUCAGCUUUACUUUUGAUCCCACAACACCCCUGUUUUCCAGUUUCCUCCUACCCUGUUAUUGUACCUGGUAGAGGAGGGUAUAAGUAGUGUGAUAUUGUAAUGCUGAAAGUGAAAUAUGAGGAGAUUGGGAAAUUUUGAGAUUUCAGAUGGUUGUGGCUACAAAUUUUGCCUUGCAAUAAUAUCAUGGAUGGAUCCACCAAUUAACUAGAUUUGAGGCAAAAUAAUAUCUAUCACGGCGCCCCCAUCAAUACAUGACAGGGUCGGUAACCAUUUUGCAAUGUGCCAAUAUUUUUAAUGUCUUUCCAAAACAAAUUUUGUAUUGAAAUUUCGAUGCAACCAAAUUGGGGGAAAAUGAGUUUUGUGAUUUAAGGAUUAAAAACAGCUCUUUUAACUUAAAAAAUUACUCAAAAAAUUUUGUAUUUAAUUAACUUGUUUAGCUACUAAUAUAAUAACAUGAUGUAAAAGUUUAUUUCUUACGUAUGUAUUACAACAGUUGGACAUAAAAUAAAGAAUAGUUAGUAUAAAUUUAAACUUGAAAUUAGAAAGAUAAUAAUAAUUCUAGUAACAAAUAAGAUCUCUUCAAAAUAAGCAAAAAAAUUUCAUUCUCUUUGCUAAAAAAGUUCAAGUCAUAAUAGUGACUAAAUAUUACUGAUUAAAAUAGUUUAUUGCUAACUCCUAUACUAAAAUAUGUGAAAAAAUAAUACUCCUACAAAAUGUGAUAUUAGUGAUUAAAAAUGUAUCAAUUAAGUUUUUUGACAAUUUGUUUUCAUUGUUGAUUAUUAUUGUGUUGAUGUAAUUGUUAACCAUCGUUAAGUCAUCUAUCAUGAUGCUGAUGUGAGAAAUGAAAAAUUCAUUUUUUUUUAUAAUUUAACAAAUUUUAAAUAUAUUUUAAAUAUUUUAGAAAUUUUAAAAAAAUUCAAUCUAGAAUGAAUCUUGAUAACUGUAUGUCCAGGUUCAAAUGAACUUGGACAUUUAUUUGUUUAAAUUCAUUUUUGACUUAGUUUUUUUAAAUAUAUUUUUUUUAUAUAUUUUGUGAAUUUCUUAUUUUUGAUAAUGUGGAUUGCCAUGUUAGCAUCAUGAUGACUAAUUCAAUAGAAUAUUAUUAGUUAAAAGACUUAAUUGAUUAUCUUUUAAUGUCUAAAUACUUUUUUUUGAACAAUGUCUAAAUUCUUAAUUGAAUAUGUUUUUACAAAUAAAUUGUAAAAGUUUAAUGGGAAUUUUGUCCUUAAGCCUAAAUGAUAUAUAUAUAAAAAAAGAUUAAUUUAUUUUUUUUGGGUUUAAGCUUGAUAACUUUUUUUACAUUGGGGUUUAAAAUUUUUUUAUUCAAGUUAGGUCUUGAAUUUGGUAAUUGUUUUCAUGUAGAAGUUUGACUUUUUUUUUUGUCCAAAUUAAUUCUUGAAAUUUCUAAAGUUUAUGCUUCAAUGUGGAAAGAAUUACCAAGCUUAGGGAUUAACUUAGAUAAAAAAAAAAAGAGUUCAAGCCAUAAUAUGAAAACAAUUGUCUAGUCUAAAUCUCGAUUUAAAAAUAAUUAUCAAAUUCAAAGUUUAGAUUUAAAAAAAUUUUAAAGUAAGAAAAAGUAUCAAAUUUAAGCUUGGAUUAAUAAUUUAAACCCUAUAAAAAUAUAAUUUUUUUUACCGCUCCGCUCCUGUUAUUUGAGAUUUUAAUCGGUAAGAGAAACCAAGUAGGAAAGAUGAACAAGCCUCAUUGAUAUGGGCUUUUUCACAUUAGAAAUUAGCAGACCCAGAACUCAUAUUUAUUUUCAGCCUAAUAUUUAGAAAAAAAAUAUAUAAACAGCGUACAAUAAAUAAAUUACUUUAAAUCUAAAAAUGAUCAAAGGGAAGGCGGCUGGUGAAAAUAUAUGGGUGUAGGUGUUUUUUUGUACAGUACUACACUGCGGACUUCCAUUUGAAAAUAAUUUUCAGAAAAUAAUUUUUAAAAAAUAAUUUAUUUUCAUGAAAAAAUUAAUAUUUUUUGUAUUUGAAUGGAUCUAUAGUAAAUUACUUUAUAUUGUUUAACAAAUAUCUUAAAAAUAAUACAUAAAAGUUGUUUUCAAUUAAAUAAAUAUAUAUUUGAAAUUUUCUUAUCUUUUCAUUAUUUAAUUAAAUUUAUAUUUUACAUUAUUUUUGCAUAUAUUAAAAAUAUUUUGUUAAAUUUAGGUUUAUUUUAUUUUUUAAUUAUAUGAUUACCAAGUGAGUAUUUUUUAUUUAAAAAUGUGAUAUCAACAAAAUUGACAAAAAAAUUUAACAAUGUCAAUAAUUGAACUUGAUUUCCAAAUCUAAAAAGUAGCGAGACUAAAUUCUUAAAAACAAAAGUACAGAAACUAAAUUACAAAUUUGCAUAGACUUAUUACCUAUUUUAACAUUUAUACUACAAAAUAUUUAUUAUUAAUAUAUUUAUAAUUGUAAUAAAUAUUUAUUAUUAGAAUAUUAAUAUAUUGAAUAUUUUCAAUAAUAUGUGAAGAAUAUUAUUUAAAAUUAUUAUUUUUAAAAUAAAAUUGAAAUACUAAAUAUUUUUUGAAAUAAUAAAUUAUAUUAAUAAUUUAUUAUAUGAGUAAAUAUAAAUAAUUAAAUAUGUAUGUUUAAUAAUAUUAGAAAAUAUAAUAUUUUAUAUUAAUAUUUUAAUAAUUUUAAAUAUUUUUAAAAAUAAAAAUAAAAAUUAUUAUUAAUAUAAUAACAUUAAUUUUGAUUUAAAUUAAUUUUUAUAUAAAAAUAAAAUUAGCUAUAGAGGAGUUAUGCUUUUUAAAGGGUAAGUUAUUUUACAAGAAAAAUGACUUAGGUUUCGUUUGUUUCACUGAAAAUGAGUUCUAGGAAAUGAUUUACUUUUCUGAAAAAGCUAACAUUUUCUGGUGUUUAGAUGAAUCUAUGUAAAAUAUUUUCUAUUGUUUGGUAGAUUUCUUAAAAAUAUUUCAUAAAAGUUGUUUUCAAUUAAACAAACAUACAUUUGAGAUUUUCUUAUUUUUUUCAUUGUUUAAUUGAAUUUAUUUUUAUCUAUAAUUUUAUAUUUUACAUUGUUUUUGCAUAUAUUAAAAAUACUAUGUUAAAUUCAGAUUCAUUACAACGUUAUUUUUUAAUCACAUGACUACUAAGUGAGUAUUUUUUAUUUAAAAAUGUGACAUCAACAAAAUUGACAAAAAAAAUUAACGAUGUCAACAAUUGGACUUGAUUUUCAAAUUUGAAAAGUAAAGGGACUAAAUUCUUGAAAAUAAAAGUACAAAGACUAAAUUACAAAUCUGUGAAGUGUACAUAGGCUUAUGACAUAUUUUUACCUUUAUACUACAAAACAUUUAUUAUUAAUAUAUUUAUAAUUGUAAUAAAUAUUUAUUAUUAAAAUAUUAAUAUUGAAUAUUUUUAAUAAUAUCUGAAUCAUAUUAUUUAAAAUUAUUAUUUUUAAAAUUUAUUAUUAAAAUAAAAUUGAAAUAUUAAAUAAUUUAUUAAAAUAAUAAAUUAUAUUUAUUAUAUUAAUAAUUUAUUAUAUGAUUAAAUAUAAAUAAUUAAAUAUGUAAUAAUAUUGAAAAAUAUAAUAUUUUAAAUUUUUUUAAAAAUAAAAAUAAAAUUUAUUAUCAAUAUAAUAUUAGGCUUAAUUUAAGUUAAUUUUUAUAAAAAAAAUAAAUUUAUCGAUAGGUAAGCUCUUUUUCUGAAAAUGACUUACGUUUUUCAAAAUGGUAAAUCAUUUUACAGGAAAAAAGGUUUAUUUUAUCUUAACAUGUAAGUCAUUUUCUAUUAACCAAACUAUUUUUCGUGAAAUAAACACAAGAAAAUGCAGAAAAUAUUUUCCGUAAAACUUUUUACAUGUAAACAAACGAUAAUUUUACAUUAACCUAUAAGUUAUUUUCUGUUGAUUAAGCUAUUUUCUGUGAAACAAACACAAAAAAAUAUAAAAAAUAUCUUCCAUAAAAUAUUUUAAAUAUAAACAAACAGACCUAAAUAUAAAAUGAAAGAGGAAAAGGAAGAAUAGAAGGUUGGGCUAUAGGCUUCUGGGCCUGCUUGAGAAAACAAAUCCGCAACCCUUACUCCUAUUGUAAACCCACAUAUUGGGGCUUUACCAAAGUUUUGAAGAAUCUAUAUAAGGAUUAAUGCUUUUGGCAAGAAAAUGCUGGCGUGGAUUCAUCAUGGAAUGAACUGGUAGCUAGAAUCUUCCUGUGGAAUGUCCCCAACAUGAUGGAUCUGGACGCUUCUAGCGGUUUUCGGGUUUAAUUUAGCAUUCCUUUACUAGAAUAUUUGAAAAUGUCCUUUUUUAUUUAAACGUUCUCAAGAAUAAAUUUUUUUAUUUUAUAUAUAAUAUUAUUAAAUAAAAAAUACAUACUCGAAUUCAUUGGUCUUAUGAUAUAAUCAACUUAAAUUGUAAAUAUUUAUUUAUAGUUUGAUAUAUAAAUAUAAAAUUUAAAUACCUUUUUAGACAACUAUUAUAAUUUAUUUAUAAAAAUUUAAUUUUAAUAUAUAAAUCAUAUUUUAAUAUUAAAAUAUAAUCAUUACGAAUUCAAAUAUAUAAUUAUAUAUCUCCAAUAUAAAUAUUAAAUAAUAUAUUAAAUCAUAAAUAUGAUUUCAACUCAAAUGAGUGUUUUUCAAAGUUUACAUUUGAAUUUUAAAAUAAAUUAAUAAAAAUCUAUUUAAUAUUUUUUAAGGUUUUAUUUCUCGUUAUUUUUUUUAAAAGUAUUUUUAAAGUCAUCUACAAUACAAAAAGUGCUUUUGGAAAUAAAAUGAUAUUUUUAACUUUUAUUUGUAAUUUAAUAUAUUUUAUGUAAUAUUUAUAUUAAGUAUACAAUUAUUUUUUAUUAAAAUUUAUUUCAAAUAUAUAAAAUUUUAUAUUUAUAUUUAAAAUAUUUAUAUUUUAUCAUAUCUAAAUACAUAUUUUAUUUCAGAGAAACACUUUAAAAAAUAUUAAACAAUUAAAUUUUAUUCAAAAUCAAUUUAUCAAUAAACUGGCCUAAGACUUGAAAAGAAAUGCUUUUAAAAGUAAACGGUGAAGACGGCAUCAGUAAUGUGAAGCUGAAUACAGCCCAAGUGGUAAAAGGUUUGUGGUGUCUCUCACUGACCUAAAAGGUUAAUUGGUGGGGCCCAUUUUAGAAGGGAAGGCAAAUCAGAACACACAACGUCAGCAAGGCAGAAUACGUCUACAAUCUCUUGUUUCUUAUCUUUUUCUAUAGGACAUUGUUGGUAUGCAUACCUUUUCCUCCCGUUUCUCUGCCUGGCCGUCCUUGAAGACAAGAGUCAGAGAGCAUGGCAACCACACUCAGCCUCCUGAAAUCCCCCUUAUUACCCCAAAAGCCUCACUUUCUACAAUCUAAACUCCCCCUCCUUUCUAACCCCACAAAGCAAUUUAUCUACAAUGAGUCUUUUAACCCUCCAAAACUCUUCGCUGAGACUGUUCAUCACCUAAAAUCAGCUUCUCUUCCCCUUACAACACUCGCAUUUCCCUUCUUAUUUGACGCCAAGGUAUGCAACUCUUCUUCACUUUCUUUGUUUUAGAUAAUGAGCCGUUUUCUUUUUGGAAUGUCUUUUUAAUGUGAUUUUGCAUGGAAUAACAGGAUGCUCUUGCUGUUGGUGGAGAGUUUGGGAUUUUGGAGGGUAGAAGUUUUGCACUUGUACACCCCAUUGUCAUGGGUGGUCUCUUCUUUUACACUUUGUGGGCUGGGUAUUUGGGUUGGCAAUGGAGGCGAGUGAGGACCAUCCAGAAUGAGAUUAAUGAACUCAAGAAACAAGUGAAGCCCACUCCUGUUACCCC